Molecule: long non-coding RNA, 53127 nt
Filed under: Gossypium barbadense (sea-island cotton)
Lineage: Eukaryota; Viridiplantae; Streptophyta; Magnoliopsida; Malvales; Malvaceae
Description: long non-coding RNA (GBAR_LNC020387)
Source: RNAcentral
AGAAAGUCGGUUAAUUCGGUUAUAGCUAUUUCGGGUCGGUUAACCGGUCGGUUAACCGAAUGCACACCCCUAAUUAUUUUAGUUUUUGUCCUUAUGCUAUUACAACAUCAUAUAGUUUAAGGGUAUUCUGCUAAGGAAAACAUGAUACUUCAUUAGAGUAGAAGAUGAAGAAGAAGAAGAAGCCAUGGAAGAGUAUUGAAGCAAAAGAGAGAAAAUUUGGUUGGGUUGUGGGAUUAUUGAAAGAAGAAAAAGUGUAAAAUAUGCAUAAUCUUUGGUAUCCUUUCAUUAAAUGGGAAAGAGAUUGAAGGCGUUUUCCUUAGACUUGAGCUUAGCCAAUUAUCUUAGUCAACACCAGCGGAGAUAAUCAAUUCUCCUUUUUAUCUUUUACCGCAAAAGUGGGAGUGUUUUGAUGGUGGGUGGGCCCAUCAAACCCAAAAUGAUUCUUAUUUCAACGAUUUAAAAUACAAAUUUAAAAAUCGCGAUUAAUUGAGCUUAGUUGAGAGGAUAAGUUUACAGUUUUAUAAUAAAGUCCCUCGUGAUGUUUUAAAUAUUUUAAAUCAAGAUAAAAGUUAAGGGUGCUUUUGAUCAAUUUAGUUUGAUGUAAUUUUUAUUUGUUAGUUUGUUUUUUACUAAAAAAUUGGUUAUUAUCUGAAAUCGAAUCGAAUUUUAUUUUUUAUUUCAUAUAUAAUUAAUUUUAACUUUUUUGAUAUAAAAAUACAUAUUUUAUAUUUAAAAUAAUGAAAGUAAUUUAAAUUUUUUGAAAAAUUAUUGUAUUUUAGAAAUAUUUAUGAAAAUAAAUUUGAAAUUUAUCAAAUAAUAUUUAAAAGCCAUAAAACAAAACUCAUUUUAUCAAAAUAAACCUUAAAAAUCAAAAAAAAAAUUAAUAUAAGAAACUGUGAACUAAACCGAGCCGAAUUAAACUAUAAUGGAUGAUUCAAAAAAUAUAAAUAACCCGGCCCUGUGAACCUCUUUGAAACUUCACUAUCCAUGAAAUUAGCCAAUUUGGAAAAGGGUCAAAUUUUGAUUUUGAGUCCUUUUACUAUUCUCAAAUUCGAGAUUUAGUCCUUUAACUUAAAAUAAUCUCUUUAUUUAUAUGUUGUCAUUAGUUAAUUCAAACAAGACAAUUAACUAUUUCAAUUAAAAUUAAAACGUAUUAUUAUCAAAGUGAUAUAAUAUCUUGUAAAAGGUAACUAAAAUAAACAAAUAAAGAACAAAAAAAAUUGAGAGAGAAGUGAAGAUAAGGGCAUAGUUAACUUUUUCUAUGUUUAUUAAGAUAAAUCAUCUUAUGGAGCAAAUCCAAAAAUUAGUUUAGAGUCUACUGUUGGAGAGGAUAAUGAUAGUAGUUAUGGAUCAUCUGUUGGUGAUGAAAAUGCUGUUGAUUUUGCAUUAGAUGAAGUGAACAAUGUUGCGGUUGCAAUUAGUGGAAAAGAGGAGGAUGGGAAUAAUACUAAAACUGAGGUAUGGGACUUAGAUGAACAUGGCAGCUUGGUUGGGUUCAAUGAAGAUGAAGAACAUGAAGAUGGUGAGAGAAGAAGAAGCAAGUUUCUUUUAUACAAUGAUUGAUCUAAUCCGUUAAAAUUUAGUUUAGGAAUGUUGUUUAAAGAUGGCAAAUAGUUUAAGAGUGCAAUUCGAAACUACUCCAAAGAAUGUAGAAGACAACGGAAGUUUCUUAAGAAUGAAUUGAAAAGGGUUGUUGUGAGGUGCAUUGCUUCCCCUAACUGUCCAUGGAGAAUUUUGGCUAGCUACAAUCCUAUUCCCAAAUACUUGCAAGUAAAAACUUUUCAGGAGAAGCAUCAUUGUUUGGGUAGUUCUGAGAACAAAAUGAUGAUUGCUGCAAUGAUUGCCCAACAUUUUGAAGCAAUUAUCAAUGAUCACUUUAAGAUGCAAAUAAGGAAAAUUCAAAGAAGAUGUGCUUCAUAGAUGCAUGUAAAUGUGAGCAUUCAGUGUUGUUAUAGAGCUAAGAAAGUAGUGAAGGAGAAAAUGGUUGGGAAUUACGAGGAAUUUGGUCAGUUAUAUGACUAUACUCAUGAGUUAAGGUCAAAGAUGUCAGGCAGCACAAUAAAAAUGGUUGUUCAUAGUAGAUUCCCCUCCUUAUUUUAGAAGGUUUUAUCUGUGCUUUGAUACACUAAAGAGAGGCUGGAAAGUGAGGUGUAGGCCAUUUAUUGGAUUAGAUGGUUGCUUCCUAAAAGGGUCAUUUAAGAGUGAAUUUCUCACAAUUGUUGGAAGGGAUGCAAACAACCAGAUGUUCCCUAUGGCAUGGGUUGUGAUUGAAGUGGAAUACUUUGAUUCAUGGGCCUAGUUUCUUAGUCUCCUAUUAAUUGAUUUGGGCUUGGAGGAUGGGUAUGAGUUCACAAUUAUCAGGGACCAACAAAAGGUUAGGGAAUUAACUAAUUUGGGCUUGGUCUUGUCUUUUUAUUUUGUUAAGUAUAAUUAGCUAUAUUUUUCUAACAAUCUAACUGGUUCAUUAAAACACAAUUAAGGCCUUCAGAUUGUAAUUUCUACAUAUCGCCAAAGGUGGAGCAUAGGAAUUGUGCGAGGGACAUGUUUGCAAAUUGGUCAGGAAGGAAGCUAGGGAAAUCUUAUGAGUAUGAUUUCUAGCAGAUUGUGAAUUCCAUAACUGAGAAUGAAUGGGAGGAAUUAUGUGCAGCACUAUGUCCGACUUGACUUUCAUUAAAAUUUUAUGGAAACUACGGAUCACGGUCAUAAAAUUCAAAAAAAUAAAACAUAACAAAUAGAAAACACCUACUCCGUGAUCAAUAUAAAACCAUAUGUUAGAAGAUUAACCAAUCUCAAGCAUCUAUUGAUUAUAUAUAGGGAACAGUUGGUAGGUUUACCUUAUCUAACAUGAAUAUAAAUCAGAAAUCAUGAACUGAAAACAUAUAUAUUUACUAACAUUUUAAGGAAAUAUGAAGCAUAAAUCAAUGGGUGAACGAAUCAUUGAAGUAAAAUGCAGAUAGUCUUGAGAUACAAUAUGAUUAAAUCUCUACUUACUGCCCAUGGCACAAGCACCAAUGGUAGAACCUAAACAAUUAAGCUGAAUGAUGUCCACCACAGAUCCUAUGAAUCAAAACCAACCAAUAACAAGUCAAUUGCCAAAAAGAAUUCAAGUAUGAAUCUUAAUAUCUCUUCACUGCAAUGCUCAAACAACAUGAGAGGAAGUAACAUACAAAGAACUUUCAGCCCAAACUGAUACGACAAUCAAAAUCCAAGGUAAGAAGCUAGCAACUCCAAUGGCUCUACCCUGGAACUAACCCAAUCUAGCUUGAGAAUGAAAACUGCCGAAGGUUGCAUCUAGCUCCACGUGUUCAUCCCACAAGUUUUGAGAUCUCUUGCAAAUUCUGGAUUUAUAUAAUCCCAUUGAUAAAUAUGGGAAAAAAUGGUGAGGAUGCUGAAAAUCAUUAUAUGAACCUAAAAUCAUGAUAAUUAAGUCCAAGUCGAUGGUAACUUCUUCACCAAGACUGAAUUUGCCAGAACCCAGAAAGGGCCUCAAAAGAUUACUUUGAAGUUGUGUUCACAAAUCUGUUGACAACUUGCAUUGUCACCAAAUAUCAGUUAAAACACUUGUAUGAAACAAGCAUUCAGCAAAACAAAUUGAAGCUCUUACAGUUCAGGUGCUCCUCCUUAUAUGGCUAAAGCUCCAAUUCAGCAGUGGCACAAAUAACCAAUCUUUCUAAUGAAUCUAGAUGUCAUUGAAGGAAAAUGCAGCAAGUCUUGAGAUACCAGAUGACACCAAUGCUGGAAACUAAACAAUGAAGCUGAAUCGAGUCCACCACUGGUCCUAUGAAUUAAAAAAAAAACCAACCAAUAACAAGUCAACUGUCAAUAAGAAUUAAGUAUGAAUCUUAAUAUCUGAAUUUUAAGAACACAGACACAACAGGGGAUGAAGAUGAGAAAAAAAUAAUAAUAAUAAUAAGCAAAAAUCACAAGCUGUUGAACAAAUUUCCAAUUUUUAUGUUCAUAAAUUAUGUUUUUAACAUUUACAAUGUAGAACUACAAGGUUUCAGUAUGGUAAAGCACCUUCUGAAAGACAAGUAAUUUAUAAAGCAGAGCAAGUUAGAUUCAUCCUGGUCGGUUUUAAUUAAUUAAAGCACUUCAUUUGCUGUUAUUAAUUUAUAAGUUCAAAAUUUACUAUUAACAAUUGUGGAAGACAAAAGUAUGGCAAUAUGAAAAAUGAAAUGAAAAAACUGAAAAUGUAUGAUAAUAUGAAAAACUGAGAUGAAAUGAAACCCUUACCCAUGCAUUUGGAUGACAUAAUUGAGAAGUUGAAAGUCCUCAAAAGCAGAGCCAAAGAUGGAAAGAAAUACAAACUAUUUCAAUCUUUUAAGUCCUCCAUCCCCUUCUUCACCAUCAUGGCUAAAGCUUCUUUUGUUCCCAGCAACUCUCUUUUCAGUAGCAUCCACGUAAAAUACAUGAACACCACAUCUCUCCACCUUGAUAUACUUUUCUCCUCCAUCAUUGUCUUCAUCGAAAUGGAAAUUGUUAAUGUAGAAUUCAAAUGUUGCCUCCUCAUAAUUCUUGUCUUCUAUAACCAUGUCGAUGCUAGAUAGAAUAAACACGUGAUAAUCCAUGUACUAAACUGGCUCAUAAAAACUGCGGAAAGAGAUCUCACUUCUGAAAUUUUCACAACCACCUCCACCAUUGCCGCCAACGGCAGUUGUAAGUUGGUACUCACAAAUACAUUCACGUAAUUGAAAUUCAAGGCAGUGAGUGAGAUCAACCACAAGGCAGAUAGCAAAAACCAAAAAUCUGCUCCCACUACCCCCAUUUGGGGCUAUCUUCAAACUUAAGGAAGAAUUCAUGCUCUGACACUUGAACAUAUUUGCUGAAAUUUUGUUUCCUGGGAAACAACAAAUCAAACUUGGAGCUCUGUCAGGGUUGUAUUGCCAAUCAUAUCUCGCUGCCCAUUUCUUAGCUAGGGAUCCAAUUUUGAGCAUGGUAUUUGCCUCAAUGUUAUUAGUUGAGUCUUGAUUCAAGUUGAAGCAAUUACGGAAUCGCAUCAAAAAGUUAUGAUUUAUGCAAAACUCAUCAUCUAAAGAAUCAAACUGAUUUAAAUUUUGAUCUGCGAAGGAUACUUUUUCUAAUGAUGUGCAGUCAUUUACACUCAAGACUUCCAGAUAUGGUGGAAGCUCUGAGAGUAAUUCGACCUUUGGGCAACCACUAAGAUCCAGAUAAUGAAGAGAUUCCAACUUGAUCGAUACAUUUUUGACCGCUGAGCCACUCAUAUUUAAGUGCUGAAGAUUACAUAGAGAGUCGAAAGGCAACGACACUUCUUCAAUUUGAGUGCCAGAUAAGUUUAAUUUUAUUAAGCUUCCUGGGAUUUCUGGAAAUUUGACCAUUGGGCAUCCACUAAGAUUCAGUUUGCGAAUGGAUUCCAACUUGAUCGAUACAUUUUUGACCGCUGAGCCACUCAUUUUUAAGUGCUGAAGAUUACAUAGGGGGUCGAAAGGCAACGACACUUCUUCAAUUGGGCAACCACUAAGAUCCAAUUUACGAAGGAAUUCCAACUUUAAAAUAUUGAUCGAUACUUUUUUCACCUUUGACUUCCCUAACCACAAAGUUUCAAGUUUGUGGUAGAUCCUUAAUUGAAUCAGACACUUCUUCUACUUUGGUUUCUGAUAAAUCUAAAGAGCAAAAGGGAGGUGGGACAUUAGGAAACUUCUUGAGACUAUAACAUCCGUUAAGACGAAGACUAUAUUGAUGAAGAGAUGCCAAAUGAUUGAGGCAAGGAAGUUCAACCAAACUUUUACAGUUAGAGCAACCAAGGAAUUCAAGGUUGAUUGCUCUUGAAAGAUUAGAUAUCUUCCUUAAAUUCACGCACCCAUCAAAGUAAAUUUUCCUUAAAUGAACAAGGUCCUGUACAGAAAAAAUAAUUGUUUUACUUUUAAGCAUCAACCACUUACUUUAGACCGUAAAAUAUGUAAAGGAAAUAAAUAAUUAUAAUACGAUAAAAAAUAAAAAUUUAUAUUUGAUGUAUCAAGGGUGAAAAUCCACCCACAGCUAAUAAAUCAAAUGAUGUCACUUAUCUAAAUAAAAUAAAUUCUUUUAUAUAUAUUUUUAAAAACCUUUAAAUAAAAUAUUAUCAUAUGAAUAUUUGAUACAUCAAAUUAUAAAUUAUUUUUUUCAAAAAAAAAAGAGUAUAAAAAUGCAUACCAUACGAUCAUCUUCAUCCCAAAGUUCAACCAAACUUUGACAGUAAGAGCAAUCAAGGAAUUCAAGGUUGAUGGCUCUUGAAAGAUUACAUAUCUUCCUUAUAUUUUUGCAUUCUGAAAUAUAAAUUUCCCUUAAAUUAACAAGCUCCUGUAUGGAAACAACAUUUGUAUUGCUUUGAAGCAUCAACUACUUACUUUAAGUAGUAAAAAAUGAAAAAGGAAAUAAAUAAUUAUAAUACUAAGAAAAAUAAAAAUUCAUAUUUGAUGUAUUGGGUGUGAAAAUUAACACACAAUUAAUAGAUCAAAUGAUGCCACUAAUUUAUAUAAAAUAAAAUAAAAUCUUUCAUAUUUCUUUUUUAAAAACUUUAAUUAAGAUGUCAACAUAUCAUAUGAUUAUUUGAUACAUUAAAUUAAAAAAAAUCUUAAAUGAAAUAAGUAUGAAAGUACACAUACUAUAUGAUCAUCUUCAUUCCAAAGUUCAACCAGACUUUCACAGCCAAUGCAACGAAGGAGUUCAAGGUUGAUGGCACCUGAAAGAUUAUGCAUCUUCCUUAAAUUCUUGCAAUAUGAAACGUCAAUUUCCCUUAGAUUAGUAAGGUUCUGUGCAAAAGAAAAAUAUAUAAAAAUAAUUAUAUAUCAUUGUCAAGUAUCAUCUACUUACUUUAGGCAGUAAGAAAUAAAAAGAAAAUAAAUAAUUGACAAGAUCCUGCACAGGAUGAGAACGAAAGUAGUUUCAUUACUUUAGAGCAUCAUCUACUUAUAUUAAGAUUAUCAAAAUAAAAAUUUGUAUUGGGUGUAUUAAUUCACCCACCAUUAAUAGAUGAAAUUGCUUCUUUUAGAAAAAAAAAAUAUAUAUAUUUAAAAAAAUUAAAUAAAAUGAUUUCACUUAUUCAAAUAAAAUAAAAUGUUUCAUAUUUAUAUUUUAAAAACUUUAAAUAAAUAUCAUAUGAUAUAUUAUUUGACACAUCAAAUUAUAAAUCCUCUUUCUCCUUAAAAAAACUUCUUAAAUGAAGAAAGUAUGAAAGUAUAUACCAUAUUGUCAUCUUCACUCCAAAGUUGUUCCAUGUUGCCAUGUAAUAGUUUCAACAUGACAAGAUUUUUUGGAUUAAAACUAGAUAAAGAUUUGAAAGGGUAAACAUCCCAACAGAGAAACCUUAACUCAUCAGGAAGAGAUAUACUCUCAACUUGAUUUGCAUAUAGCUUCUUAAGCCAUAACAUUUUCUUAGGAAAGCUGAUGUUGAUAUAUCUAAGCUUAUGCAUCUUCUCAAUAGCAGUAGCACAAAACUGUAGACUAUCAACUUCAGUCAUGUCUACCUUUAUUCCUUUAAUUAGAUCAGUCCCCUGAUAAAAAAAAAUAUUUAUCAUGAAUUAACACAAAGAAAUUUAUGUACAUUCCAUUAAAUCAGUCAUAAAAAAGUUAAUUAUAUUAGGAAACACUUUAAACUAACGCAUACCUUUUUUUUUUUUUGAAGUUUGAAUUUUUUUAAUCAAAAUGGCUUUUUAUAAUUAAAAUUUAUUUUAAUAUAUGAAACUUUGAUUUGUAAUCAAGUAACUCAGCUCUUGUGUAUGUAUGUGAUGCUAUUUUUGUCUUAAAGAUUAUUAUCAACAAGAAAAAUUGUUCCAAUGAUGUUGGGGGGUGUUAAUUUCCAAGUCAAGGUCUUCCAUUGGGACAAAAUUGUUAAGUAAAUAAAAUUCCAUUCUUUGAAUUUCUUUUUGGGUCCUAACAAAAAUAUUGACUUCUACACACUUUGUGAUUUGGGUCAAUUGAACUGAAAUUUCAUAUAAUUUUCUUUAAGAAGAAGCACUUUCAGACAAUUUUAAGUGAAUUGAACUUAAAUUUCCCACAACUUUAUAAUUUUCACUUUUUUCCCCUAAAUGAAAAGUUUUGGGAAUGAAGGGUGUUGUGUUUCUAUUUUCCUAGGUAAAAUAAUGAUAGAUUUUCUUUCUGCUUUGGGGGUUUCCUAUUUAAUCCUUUAUUUUGAGCACAGGUAAGGUGAGUUUGGUUAAAAAGACCUCUUUAGUUUCUUUCAAUUUUGGAAUCGAAUAAAUUGGUCACUCUCAAAAAAGAAAAUCAAAGCAAUUGAAUCAUGGUUAAUUUUAAAGGUGAGUAACUAAGGACAACUAAUCGUGAUGUUAACGUCUUUCGUCAAUUGUACAUAAUUUUGAUUGGUAUAACAAUAAAUUUAGCCUUCAAUGUUUCCAUUUUUUGUCAAUUUGGUCUUGGUUCUAAAAAAUCAAUAAAUUUAGUAUCAACAUUUACACAAAUGUUGUGGGCUAAAUUUGUUAAAUCAAGACAAAAUUGUAAAAUUUGAGGGGUAAAUUUGUUAUUAUACUAAUCAAAAUUAUGUAAGUUUGAUGGACAACAUUAAUGUUGUGCUUAAUUUACUUUAAUUGCUCACUUUCGAAAUUGAUGGAAUUUAAAUUGUUCUAAUUUUUUUAAGGGAGAUCAAUUUACUAAAUAUCAACCUUGAGAUAGAUUGAAUAGAUCUUUUACCAACAAAUAUGCUUGCUUACAUUUAUUUUAAACAUAGAAUCCAAUCAGUUUUCUAAUUAAACAUGGAUUCACCUAAACUGAUUAGCAAGUAGGAAUGAGCAAAAUUCAAUUCUAUUUGUAUUGGCAAGCAUGCAAUCUUUGAUUUUUUCAAAGAUGAAUGGUGUCAGAAAGUUGGCACCGAAAAUCUAAGCAUUUAAGGCAUAGAUUUUUGAGUUGAAAUUUGGCUUGGAAUAAUUGCAAUUUUGGUCCCUAAUUGUAUAGGGACUUUGCAAGUUGAUCGUUGAGCUUCAACUAUAAAUAGGCCUAGCUAUUUCUCAUUUUCACCAUCCCACAAAUGCCAUUCUCUACUUAAGGCAUUAUUCUCUCUCCUUAUUUGUAAAAUUUCACUUGUAUUUUGGAGUGAAAUAUAUUUGGUAGUGCCCGAGGACGUAGGCAAAAUUUGCUGAACCUUGUUAAAAUUCUAGUGUUCUUUAUUGUUUAUUUUGCAUAUUUUGUAAGUGUGAUUGUAGUGAUUUAUUGUGCUAUUAAAUUACGAUAGAGGGAUAUUCUGGCUAGGAAAGACCUGGGAAUUGAACUUAGUGUGAUUUUUUAGUACAAUAAUUUUACUCUUUUACACGCUUUCGCGCAACAAUUGGUAUCUGAGCUAGAUUCGUACUUGGGGAAUACGACCAUUUACGAUACUAUUUACGUAUACGAUAUUGUUCAUCCACGGCACUAUUCACGUAGACGGUACUGUUCACAUAAACAGUAGUUGGGAUCGAGGAGAAGAAUGGCAGAGGCAUCGUCAUCAACAAAGACUACCGUGACCAAUGCAAAAUUUGAAGUAGAGAAAUUUGAUGGUACAAAUAAUUUUGGUAUGUGGCAAUGUGAGAUCCUGGAUGUCUUAUGUCAGCAAGAGUUGGAUAUAGCUCUUGAAGAAAAACCUGACAAGAUGGAUGACAAGGAGUGGGCCAAGAUCAAUAGACAGGCGUGUGGUACAAUCCGCUUAUGUCUGGCCAAAGAGCAGAAGUACUCUGUCAUGAGGGAGACAUCAGCAAAGAAGUUAUGGGAUACACUGGAAGAAAAGUUUCUAACGAAAAGUCUUGAAAAUAGGCUUUAUAUGAAAAAGAAACUUUUUCGAUUCACGUAUGCACUCGGUAUGUCGAUGAAUGACCAUGUGAACUCAUUUAAUAAAAUUUUAGCAGACUUGCUAAAUUUGGAUGAGAAGUUUGAAGAUAAGACAAGGCAUUAUUGUUGUUGAAUUCUCUUGCCGAUGAAUAUGAUCAUCUUACCACCACAUUGCUUCAUGGGAAGGAUACGAUCACAUUUGAUGCAGUCUGCAGUGCGUUGUACAGAUCUGAGACUCGAAAGAAAGAUAAAAGAGAUCACAGAGAUACAACUGCAGAAGUCUUAACAGUAAGAGGUCGUUCACACAGCAACAAACCUGGUAGAAGGGGCAAGUCCAAAGGGAGACCCGCCAAAGAUGAAUGUGCUUUUUGUCGUGAGAAAGGGCAUUGGAAAAAGAAUUGUCCUAAGUUACAAAAGGGCAAGGCUAUUUCUAAUGCAUGUGUAGCGGAGCAUGAUGAGGAGUCAGACUUUAGCUUGGUUGGCAUGGCAAUGACAUGUCAUACAGAUGAGUGGAUAUUGGAUUCGGGAUGUACUUACCAUAUGUGUCCUAAUAAGGACUGGUUUUCUAGUCUUGAAGAACUAGAAGGUGGAGUUGUUUUUAUGGGCAAUGACAGUGCCUGUAAGACAAUGGGAGUAGGUACAAUCAAAUUAAAGAAUCACGACGGCUCAAUCCAAGUCUUGAUAGAUGUUCGCUAUGUACCUAGCUUGAAGAAAAAUCUCAUCUCAUUAGGGGCCCUAGAAUCUGGGCUCACAGUCACUUUGAGAGAUGGAUUACUAAAGGUAGUAGCUGGGGUAUUGACAGUGAUGAAAGACACUAGAAGAAAUAACUUUUACUAUUUAAAUGGAAGUACAGUUAUUGGAUCAACAUCAACAGCUUCUGCAAAAGAUGCAGAUUCAGAGGCUACCAGUUUAUGGCAUAGGCGAUUGGGACAUGCUGGUGAAAAAGCUUUGCAGACUUUGGCGAAGCAAGGCUUGUUGAAAGGUGCAAAUUCUUGCAAAUUGGAAUUCUGUGAACAUUGUGUUCUGGGCAAGCAGACGAGGGUAAAAUUUGGUUCAGCAAUUCACAAUACGGAAGGAAUUCUGGACUACGUUCACAGUGACGUGUAGGGACCUACCAAAGUGGCUUCUUUGGGAGGUAUGCACUAUUUUGUUACUUUUGUUGAUGAUUAUUCAAGAAAAGUAUGGGUGUAUCUAAUGAAAAGAAAAAGUGAAGUUUUGGAUGCAUUUCUGAAGUGGAAGAAGAUGGUGGAGACUCAGACUGGUCGAAAGGUCAAACGACUUCGAUCAGAUAAUGGUACUGAGUACAAAAAUGAUCCAUUUCUACAAGUAUGUCAAGAUGAGGGCAUUGUGCGACACUUCACUGUCCGGGAUACACCACAGCAGAAUGGGGUGGCAGAACGUAUGAAUCGGACUAUACUGGAGAAAGUUCGAUGUAUGUUGUCCAAUGCUGGAUUGGGCAAGGAAUUUUGGGCUGAGGCAGUUACAUAUGCGUGCCAUCUAAUCAACCGGUUUCCAUCAGCUGCAAUAAAGGGAAAAACUCCUAUGGAGAUGUGGACUGGUAAACCUGCUACUGAUUAUGAUUCUUUACAUGUUUUUGGUUCCACUGCAUAUUAUCAUGUAAAAGAAUCUAAGUUAGACCCAAGAGCAAAGAAAGCAUUAUUCAUGGGUAUAACUGGUGGAGUAAAAUGAUACCGUCUCUGGUGUCCUGAUACAAGGAAGAUUGUUUUCAGUAGAGAUGUGACUUUUGAUGAAUCAACCAUGAUGAAGAACAAAGAUUCACAAAAGGAUGACAAAACCAGUAGUACUUUGCAGCAGGUGGAGCUUGAAAAGGUUAAUGAUGAUCCAGCUAAUAUUGAAGAAACAAAUGAUGAAGAAGUUUUGACUCAAGAACUUCUACAGCAACAAGAUUCAAUUGCAUAUAGGAGGCCAAGAAGAGAGAUUCGUAAGCCUGCUCGCUUUGAUGAUAUAGUGGCCUAUGCACUUUCAAUUGCAGAUGAUGAUGUUCCUUCUACUUACACAGAAGUAAUAAGUAACCCUGAUAGUGUAAAGUGGAAGCAAGCUAUGAAUGAAGAAAUGCAGUCUCUUCAUAAAAAUAGGACUUGGGAGUUGGUGACACUGCCCAAGGGAAAGAAGGCAAUUGGAUGUAAAUGGGUAUAUGCAAAGAAAGAAGGAUUUCCUGGUAAAAAUGAAAUUCGAUACAAGGCUAGAUUGGUAGCAAAGGGUUACGCUCAGAAAGAAGGAAUAGACUACAAUGAAGUGUUUUCUCCAGUUGUGAAGCAUUCGUCUAUUCGGAUUUUGCUAGCCUUGGUUGCGCAAUAUGACCUUGAACUAGCUCAGCUUGAUGUGAAGACGGCUUUUUUACACGGUGAUUUGGAAGAGGAAAUCUAUAUGACUCAACCUGAUGGAUUCAAGGUUGCUGGUAAAGAAAAUUGGGUUUGCAAACUGAUGAAGUCGCUUUAUGGAUUGAAAUAAUCUCCGAGACAGUGGUACAAGCGAUUUGAUCAGUUCAUGAAAGGGCAAAGGUACACAAGAAGUAAAUUUGAUCAUUGCGUGUAUUUUCAGAAGCUACAAGUAGGAACUUUCAUAUACUUGCUCUUAUAUGUUGAUGAUAUGCUGAUAGCAUCUAAGAGCAAAGUUGAGAUUGAGAAAUUGAAGACUCAACUCAAUCUUGAAUUUGAGAUGAAAGAUCUAGGUGAAGCUAAGAAGAUUCUUGGCAUAGAAAUAUGUAGAGAUAGAGCUCAAGGCAGAGUUAGCUUGUCUCAGAAGCAGUAUUUGAAGAAAGUACUACAGCAGUUUGGCAUGAACGAGCAGACCAAACCAGUAAGUACCCCGUUGGCUUCUCAUUUCAAGCUUUCUGCACAACUAUCUCCUUCGACGAAUACGGAACAAGAAUACAUGUUACAAGUUCCGUAUUCUAAUGUAGUGGGUAGCUUGAUGUAUGCAAUGGUGUGUACAAGACCCGACAUUUCACAAGCAGUUAGUAUAAUGAGCAGAUAUAUGCAUAAUCCUGGAAAAGGACAUUGGCAAGCUGUGAAAUGGAUUCUACGAUAUAUUCUGAAGACCGUGGAUGUUGGAUUACUGUUCAAGCAGGAUACUACACUUGGUAAAGGUGUUAUUGGGUACGUUGAUUCUGACUAUGCCGGUGAUUUGGACAAACGAAGAUCAACCACCGGUUAUGUGUUUACACUUGCUGGAGGACCAAUAAGUUGGAAGUCUACACUACAGUCUACAGUUGCGUUGUCAACCACAGAAGCCGAAUACAUGGCUGUAACAGAGGCUGUAAAGGAAGCUAUUUGGUUACAAGGUAUGGUUAAAACCUUGGGAUUGGUUCAGGAGCAUAUUGACGUGUAUUGUGAUAGUCAAAGUGCUAUUCAUUUAGCAAAGAAUCAAGUCUAUCAUGCACGUACAAAGCAUAUCGACGUACGAUUCCAUUUUGUGCGGGAAAUUAUUGAUGAGGGGAAAAUUCGUCUUCAGAAGAUCAAGACUGCAGAUAAUCCCGCAGAUAUGAUGACCAAGGUGGUAACAACAAUCAAGUUCGAACAUUGUUUGAGCUUGAUCAAUAUUCUGGAAGUCUAACAGUUGAAGAAGGCACUAUCAAGUAUUGUUGUCAAAGGCAGAAAGAAUUGUGUGAAGAUAAGAUUAUCCUAAUCAAAUCUUCAAGGUGGAGAUUAUUGGCAAGCAUGCAAUCUUUGAUUUUUUCAAAGAUGAAUGGUGUCAGAAAGUUGGCACCGAAAAUCUAAGCAUUUAAGGCAUAGAUUUUUGAGUUGAAAUUUGGCUUGGAAUAAUUGCAAUUUUGGUCCCUAAUUGUAUAGGGACUUUGCAAGUUGAUCGUUGAGCUUCAACUAUAAAUAGGCCUAGCUAUUUCUCAUUUUCACCAUCCCACAAAUGCCAUUCUCUACUUAAGGCAUUAUUCUCUCGCCUUAUUUGUAAAAUUUCACUUGUAUUUUGGAGUGAAAUAUAUUUGGUAGUGCCCGAAGACGUAGGCAAAAUUUGCUGAACCUCGUUAAAAUUCUAGUGUUCUUUAUUGUUUAUUCUACAUAUUUUGCAAGUGUGAUUGUAGUGAUUUAUUGUGCUAUUAAAUUACGAUAGAGGGAUAUUCUGGCUAGGAAAGACCUGGUACUUAAGCGAUCUUCGUGAUCCACCUCCCUUUCCUGGGAAUUGAACUUAGUGUGAUUUUUUAGUACAAUAAUUUUACUCUUUUACAUGCUACCGCGCAACAAUUUGAAAAAAUAGAAAAAAAAUCGAAUUUCAAAUUAUUCGAAUUGAGUUAAUUGAGUUAAUCAAAUUAAUUGACUCAACUUGAUUUUCUUUCAAAUUUCGAGUUCAAUUCGAGGAGUUUUCGAAUUCUAAGAAUCCAAAUAAUUCGAAUAAAUCAAUUGCCCAAACAAAAUUAAGCUAAAUGAUGUCCACCACAGAUCCUAUGAAUCAAAACCAACCAAUAACAAGUCAACUGCCAAAAAGAAUUCAAGUAUGAAUCUUAAUGUCUCUUCACUGCAAUGCUCAAACAACAUGAGAGGCAGUAACAUACAAAGAAAUUUCAGCCCUAACAGAUAUGAUAAUCAAAAUCCAAGAUAAGGAAAUAUCAACUCCAAUGCCUCUACCAUGAAACUAACUCAAUCUAGUCUGAGAAUGAAAACUGUCAAAGGUUGCCUCCAGCUCCAUGUGUUCAUCUCACAAGUUUUGAGAUCUGUUGCAAAUUCUGGAUUUAUAUAAUCCCAUUGAUAAAUAUGGGAAAAAAAUAUUUAAGGAUGCUGAAAAUCAUCAUAUGAACCUAAAAUCAUAAUAAUAAGUCAAAGUCAAAGGUAACUUACUUCUCCACCAAGACUGAAUUGCCAGAACCUAAAAAGGGCCUCAAAAGAUUACUUUGCAUUUGUGUAGACAAAUCUGUUGACAACUUGCAUUUUCACCAAAUAUCAGUUCAAACACUUGUAUAAAGCAAGCAUUCAGUAAAACAAAUUGAAGCUCUUACAGCUCAGGUGUUCCUCCUUGUAUGGCUAAAGCUCCAAUUCAGCAGUGGCAUUCUCAAAGAUCUGUCAUUCCCUCGUCUUACAUCAACACAAAAGCAAAGGAUAUAAGAAAAACCUGUCUCACAAAUAACCCAUCUUUCUAAUGAAAGAAAAUGCAGCAAGUAUUGAGAUACCAGAUGACACCAAUGCUGGAAACUAAACAAUGAAGCUGAAUCGAGUCCACAUUUGGCCCGAUGAAUUAAAAAAACCAACCAAUAACAAGUCAACUGUCAAUAAGAAUUAAGUAUGAAUUUUAAUAUCUGAGUUUUGGUACCCACCAAAAUCCUCUAUGGAUAUUUUAACAACUCCAAAGCAGAAUCAUUUUGCUACUGUGUUGAAAUCUCUAGUUUCCGUUCAAUUUUCCUCCAAAUUAAUUAAUAUAUAUGGAGAAUUUCGUUCUUGGACAAUAUAUGCUAUAUCUACAAAACAACACAGACAUAACGGGGGAAUGAAGAUGAGAAAAAAUAAUAAUAAGCAACUAUCACAAACUAUUGAACAUAUUUCCAAUUUUAUGUUCACAAAUUAUGCUUUUAACAUUUACAAAGUGGAACUACAAGGAUUCAGUAUGGCAAAGCACCUUCUAAAAGACAAGUAAUUUAUAAAGCAGAGCAAGUUAGAUUCAUUCUGGUUGGUUUUAAUUAAUUAAAGCACUUCAUUUUCUGUCACUAAUUUAUAAGUUGAAAAUUUACUAUUAACAAUUGUGGAAAACAAAACUAUGGAAAUAUGAAAAAUGAAACGAAAAAACUGAAAAUUUUAUGAUAAUAUGAAAAAAUGAGAUGAAAAUGAAACCCCUACCUAUGCAUUUGGAUGACAUAAUUGAGAAGUUAAAACUCCUCAAAAGCAGAGCCAAAGAUGGAAAGAAAUACAAACUAUUUCAAUCUUUUAAGUCCUCCAUCCCCUUCUUCACCAUCAUGGCUAAAGCUUCUUUUGUUCCCAGCAACUCUCUUUUCAGUAGCAUCCACGUAAAAUACAUGAACACCACAUCUUUCCACCUUGUUAUAGUCUUCUUCUUCAUUAACUUCAUCAUCAUUGUCGAUGAUGUAGAAUUUAAAUGAUGCCUCCUCAUAAUUCUUGUCUUCUUCAACCAUGUCGUUGCUAGAUAGAAUAAACACGUGAUCACCGUUGUACUUAUUUGGCUCAGAACAAUCGAAGAAAGAUAUCUUACUUAUGUAGCUUUUAGAAUCACCACCACCGGCGGCUGUAAGGUGGUACUCACAAAUACAAUUAAGAUAUUUAAAACGAUGGCAGUGAGUGAGAUCAGCCACAAGGCAGAUAGCGAAAACCAAAAAUCUGCUCCCACUACCCCUAUUUGGGGCUAUCUUCAAACACAAGGAAGAAUUCAUUCUCUGAUACUUGAACUUAUCUGCAGAAAUUUUGUUUCCUGGGAAACAACAAAUCAAUCUUGGAAAGUCUUCUCGCUGGUAUUUCCAAUCAUAUCUUGCUGCCCAUUUCUUAGCUAGGGAUCCAAUUUUGAGCAUGGCAUUUUCCUCAAUGUUAUCAAUUGACUCUGGAUUCAAGUUGAUGCAAUUACAGAAUAGCAUGCCAAACAAAUCAUCACCUAACGAAUCAAACUGAUAUAAAUUUUGAUCUGCAAAGGAAACUUUUUCUAAUGAUGUGCAGUAUUGUACAUUCAAGUUUUGCAUAUAUGGUGGAAGCUCUGAGAGUAAUUUGAGGCUCUCGCAACGAUCCAUCCUCAUAUGGUUAAGGAUUUUAGACCUCAAGCUUGGCGUGGGAAAAUCGACAGUUGGAAACUCUCUGGAACCGAACAGGGUGAUAUUACACAUUAGCUUUUGAAUACUUGAGCCGCUCAUAUUUAAGUAUUGAAGAUUACUUAAAGAGUCUAACGACAAGGCAGCUUCUUCAAUUCCAGUUCCAGAUAAGUCUAACCAUGUUAAGCUCCUCGGGAUUUUUGGAAAUUCGACCAUUGGGCAUUCACUAAGAUUCAAUUCACUAAGGAGUUCCAACUUUGAAAUAUUGAUCGAUACUUUUUCUACCUUUGAUUUGCUCAACAACAAUCUUUCAAGUUUGUGGAGAUACUUAAUUGCAUCAGGUACUUCUUCUAUUUCAGUUUCUCGUAAAUCUAAAUAACAAAAGUGACUUGGGACCUGAGGAAACUUCCUGAGACUAUAACAUCCCUCAACGCGAAGCUUAUCCUCAUCACGAGAUGCCAAAUGAUUAAGGCUGGGAAGUUCAACCAAACUUUCACAGUAAGAGCAAUCAAGGAGUUCAAGGUUAGUGGCUCUUGAAAGAUUAGGUAUCUUCCUUAAUUUUUUGCAAUUUGAGACGUCAAUUUCCCUUAAAUUAACAAGAUUCUGUACAGGAAAAAAAUUAAAUGUCAUCUACUUACUUUAGGCAAUAAAAAAUGGAAAGGAAAUAAAUAAUUAUGAUACUAAGAAAAAUAAAAACUUAUACCCGAUGUAUUGGGCUUGAAAAUUCACCCACAAUUAAUAGAUCAAGUGAUGUCACUUAUUUAAAUAAAAUAAAAUCUUUUAUAUUUAUUUUUUUAAAAACUUUAAAUAAGAUGUCCUCAUAUGAUCAUUUGAUACAUCAAAUUAUAAAUCCUUUUUUUCCUUAAAAAAAUUCUUAGAUGGAGAAAGUAUGAAAGCACAUACCAUAUGAUCAUUUUCAUUCCAAAGUUGUUCCAUAUUGCCACUUCGUAAUAUCAACAUGACAAGAUUCUUUGGAUUAAAACUUGAUAAAGUUUUAAGGGGAAAAUAAUCCCAACAAAGAUACCUUAGCUUAUUAGGAAGAGAUAUACUAUCAACUUGGUCUACAAGAAACUUCGGAUUUCGGUAGCCGUUCUCAAUCUUUGAAUCAUAGAAGCAAAUAUAUUUAAGAUUAAGCAUGCUCUCAAAAACAGAUGGACAUAACUGCAGCUCAUCCAUUUGAAACAUGUCUAAUUUUAUUCCUUCAAUUGAUACGGUCCCCUAAUAAUGAAAAAACAUUUUAUCAAGUAUCAGUAUGUAAAGAUACAUUUUGCUUUCUUUUAAAAGCAAUGCAUUAAAUAAGUACUAACCCAGUAAACCCUUGAUAUUUUUUUUUUUGAAAUAAUAAUUAAAAUGAUUAACAUUUGAUACAAUAUAAAUAUAAACAAUUAAACUUUUAACACAUGAAAACAUAUAAUUAACUGAAUUUAUAUAUUUACAUGAUAUCACAAAUAAAUUUUAAUUAAAAUAACACGAAUAUAUAAAAUAAUAGAAAACACUGUAAAUACAAUUAGCGCUUACUUUAUUAUAUCUGAGCACUUGAUCUACAUCUUCAGGAAACCAUAACCUGCUACGCUUUCCCGGGUCUUCUUUACAUUCUUGGCGAACAAUGUCCUUGCCAAUCUCUUCAAGCAUGUCAUGCAUAGAAUAACAAUCUAUGCUAUCAAGUAAGCACUUGUCGACUAAGUUUCUUAUUCCACUCAUUGCACCCAUAUAAUAAUUACUUAGUAUUUUUUCUACAGUAUCCAUUUUUUCUCCUUUAAAGAAGCAUGCUAUGUCAAGAAAUAUAUUCUUUUCUAGCUCACGCAACCCAUCUAAGCUACUCUUCAAAAUAUGUGACAUUUUUGGCUCGGCAUAUUGCUUUAGACUAUCCACUUCGCUCUCCCACUCUUUUCUAGACUUUGUAUAUAGUUUAGAACCCAAAACUUUAAGAGCAAGUGGAUUACCUUGGGCAUAUCCUACAAACUUGCAUGAUAGAUCUUGAAAAUCAGCUGCGGGAUUCAACAACUUAAAUGCAAGUGUAGAAAAAAGUUGAAGAGAAUCAUUCUCAUUCAACUUCUUCACCUCAUAUAUGUGGUUAGCUCUUCCAUUUUUAAGCACCUGUCUAUCUCUAGAUGUUACAAUGAUUUUACUUUCUGGACCAAAAUGUUUAACACCCAUAAAUUCUAUUUGAUCUGGGUUACUAACAUCAUCAAGGACAACAAGUACUUUUUUAUUGUUCAACCUCUCUUGGUAAGGGUGUCCUAUGGAAGGGCUGUUAAUACAAAUUCCUUUUUGGUUUAAUAAUUUGGAAAAAAGUUCAUUUCGUAAAGAUUCAUUCCCUACAUUUUUUAUUUUCUCACUAACAUUUCGCAGAAACAAGUGGCUUUCAAAAUUUUGGCAGAUUUCACUAUACACAACAUCAGCAAGGGUAGUUUUGCCAAUACCACCCAUUCCCCAAAGUCCUAUUACACGGCUAUGCUCUUGCUCAAUCAGCCCCAAAAUUAUCUUUUUUUGAUCAUCUAUUCCAACCAAUUCUUCAGAAACACUUGUACAAUUGCUAUCCAACUCUUUUGAAAUAUAUUCAACCACAUCUUCAAUGUACUCUGUUUCAUAUCUAGAAAAUAGUUAAAAAAUCGACAGUCAAAAGAAAGAUAUUCGUAUUAGUCAAAUAUAAGGAGAUGAGAAUAUAUAUAUAUAUUGUUACCUAUCGGAUUUGCCUCCUAUAUGCCACCCUUUUAAUGCACCGACCUCUUGAAAUGCAGAUUUCCAUCGUUGUACUCUAUCAGCUGGUUGCUUUGAUUCAUGCUUUUGGAAGGAUGUCUUAAAAGUCCCACCAAUCUUUUGCACAUGGGAAGGAUUAACAUGGUAAAAGAUGGGAAGAACAAUAUAUUUGUCAGUAGGAUUGCGCUUGCGAUCCAUGAUGUCAGAAAGUUCACCUAAGCAUGAAUUUGAAGAAGCAUAGUCUUUAGAUAAAAUGAUGAUGGAGAGAAUUGAGGCCGCAAUUGCAUUCGAAAGUGCUGAUGAAAUUUUCUCCCCUUUCUUUAGUGUAUCGUCAUCGAAGAAGACAGUCCAUCCCUUGUCUUUCAAAGCUUGGAGUAGAUGAGCGGUGAAGUUAACGCGCGUGUCUUCACCUCUGAAGCUCAAGAAAACUUGAUGUUUCACUUGACGAGAAGAAGAUGAAGAAGACGCCAUGUAAGUGUAUGGACUGUGAGGUUGAGGAAAAAGAGAACAAAAUAAACUGAGGGAGCUUUGCUUUUGCUUCUAUUUUUGUAAUGGUAAGAAGAAAAAGUGUGUCAAUUAAAUGGGAAUGAGAUUGAAAAGGUGAAGCAUUGCGGAUGAGUUUUUACUGAUAAAAAUUUCAAUAUUUAAUCCGCUUAUCGAAUCUAAAACCUCCAUUAUCAAUAUACCAAAUAUUUUCUUAUUAAUUGAAUGCUAAAACUUAUCUAAAUAUAAGUUAAAAAUUAAGGGUUAUUUAGACUUUAAAGGCUUAUUUGGGGUAUGAUAAAAGUACAAGAGAUUAUUUAAAUGAUGCUAUAAAUCAUCUAUAAGAAAAAUAAAUAUUAAUUGAUUUUUGUAAUUAAACGUAUAACUUCAAAAAAAAAUUGUCACCAUUCUUGAAUUUCGUUUUGGGUUAUGAUAAAAUUUCUAAUAAAUUUCCUAACAAAAAUAUUGACUUUUAUACACUUUGUCAUUUGGGUCAUUGAACUGACUUUCAUAAGAAUAAUUGCCACUUUUAGACCAUUUUAGGUGAAUUCAACUUAAAUUUCCUACAACUUUCUCAACAAUAAUCGCCACUUUUUUCCCCUAAAUGGAAAGUCUUUGGAAGGAAGGAUGUUGUGUUUCUAUUUUUCUUGGGAAAUAAUGAUAGAUUUUCUUUGUGCUUUUGGGGGGUUUCCAUUUUAGUCCUUUCUUCUGAAAUAGGUAGGGUGAGUUUGGGCAAAAAUAUCUCUCCAAUCUCUUUCAAUUUUGAAAUUGAAUAAAUUGGUCUCUCUCAAAAAAAUCAAAGCAAUUUAAUCAUUCUUAAUUUUGAAAGUGAGCAACAAAGAACAAUUAUUCAUGACGUUAAUGCUUUUCGUCAAUUGUAUAUAAUUUUGAUUGGUAUAAUAAAAAUUUUAGCCAUGUUUACAUAUUUUGUCAAUUUGGUCUUAAUUCUAAAAAUUCAACGAGUUUAGUAUAAACAUUUACACAAAUAUUGCUGGCUAAAUUUGUUAAAUCAAGACAAGUGAUAUAAUUGUAAACUUUGAGGGGUAAAUUUGUUAUUAUACCAAUUAAAAUUAUUUACAUUUGAUGGAAAACAUCAAUGUUGUGAUUAACUAUCAUUAAUUACUCACUUUAGAAAUUGCUCCGAUUUUUUUAAGAGACUCCAAUUUGCUCAAUACCAAAAUUGAUCAAAGAGAUUGGAUAGAUUUUUAACCAACAAAUAUGCUUGCCUACAUUUAUUUUAAAUAUAGAAUCGAACCGGUUUUCUAAUUAAUGGUCUAUUUGUUUGUAUGUAAAAUGUUUUCCAUAACAUAUUUUCAUUGUUUUACCGUGUUUGUUUGGUGAAAAAUGAAUUAUUAAAGGAAAUCAUUCUUCAAAAAAAAUGUAAAAUCAAGACUUUUUCAAGGAAAAUAUCUUACCAAUUUUUUUUCCCGUAAGAUAUUUUCUAAACUAAUAAGACUAUAUUGACUAUCUUCACUGUCAAAAAAACAAAAAAAAAGGGAAGCUUUCAGAGCAACAAAAGGAAAGCUCUCUUCACUGUCGAAGAAAAUAGUCCCUCAUAUUAUAAUUUUAUAUUUUUACAAAUUAGUCCCUGGAAUCUAAAUUUUUACUAUUCUACAAUUUAAUUCCUCAAAAAUAGAUUUUAUUAUUCUACAGUUCAGUUCUAAACCUCUUUUUGUACAAUUCUGCAAAACAGUCCCUUCUCUAAAAUUUCUAGAUUUUAUAAUUUAGUCCUUACAAUUAAAAUUUUGUUUUGGUCCUAUUAUUAUUCCUAAAUUUAGAUUUUUAUUUUUAUACUUUAAAAUAGAAUAAUUUGAUCCUUUACUACAAUAAUAUCGUCAAUUAAUCAAAGUAAAUAUUACUAUUAAUUAUUCCAAUUGAAAUACUAACGUGAAUUUUUUAAAAAAACAUUGCUUCCAUCAUAAAGAUUUCAGCAUGACUAGCUAAUAUGGAAAUGCACAAUCAAUAUUCCAUUAUCGUUUUACAAAAGAGUGAUCAAUUUCCCUUUUGGAUGACCAAAUUAACAAAAAUAUUAGAGCAACCAAAAUAGGAAUGACCCCUAUUUGAAAUAACUAACGAGAUAAUAAUUUACCCAUAAAAGUUUAAGAGCUUAACUGAAUAAAGCUUAUGACUUAUUUAGUAUAGUAGUCUAAGCAAAUCAUCUAUAGGAAAAAAAAAGUUACUAGUUGAUUUUGUAGCCAAAUCUAGUUGAUGGAUAUUAAGUAAAUUUCAAAGCACAAAAUAUUGAUGCCCAAAUUAGCUUGGAUUAUUAUAAUAAUAUAAAAAUAGGACAUAUUUAGAAACAAAUUAAAAAGGUAAUCCUCUUUUAAUAAAUGUGAAAAAUAGGUCGUACACCGGCAUUAGUAGUGGAGCUUUUAUUUUAAUGCCACGAGUGAGAUUAAAAAAUUGUCUUAUAUUAAUUCAUUGAAUAUUGCAAAAAAUAUGCUACAAAGAUGUCAAGAAUCUUCUCCUUUUUCUUUUGUUUUUUAGCUGAAUUUACAAAGCAAAUCUGCAUAUUACAGUCAUACAUAUUGUUCCAAAAUGCAUAAGGAGAUAAUGCACCAAAUUAAGCAUGGAAACUCACUUUUUUGUUUUUGAUGAGGUGAUAAAGACUACAUUAAACUUAUUAAUAAAAUAUUUUUAUUGGCUGAGAAAAAGAAAAGGUUGCUUUUGCUUUUGACACCCAUUUCAAAAUGACUAAUAAACAGCACUUCAAAAUAUCAUCCAACCUUCUUUCUUUCCUCGAAGCUACAUAUGUAGGAAUUUGGAUAAAUCAAACCAGAACCACCCCUGGGCUGAAUUUUCAUGGAAGUUCCACCAAAUUUGCACAUCACAACCGUACAUAUAGCUUGUAAAAUGCAUAAGGAAAAAAGUAAGUUGAUAAUGCACCAAAGAAUGAAAAUUCUAAAUCACAAGCUAUUUGUACAGCAUGUGAUUCUGGUUGGUUUUGAUUAAUUAAAGCACUUCAUAUUUCUAUCAUUGGCCAUUAAUUUAAAAGUUGGAAAAUAAUAGUUUAUGUGUUACAACGUAAAUGUUGAGUAAAAUACUAUUCAACGUACCAAUAUCGGCACAUUUUCUAAAUAGCUCGGGUCUUGGGCUAGAUAGUUUGGCCUCGCUCAAAUUUGAUUAUUUCUUUUCUGUUGUUGUUUGCUGCUGUUAUAUUGUUGUUUCGUUACAAUUUUAUUAUUGUAUUGUUAAUAUUUUAUUGUUAUUGUUUGGAUAUUGAAUUUUUGGUUUUAUUGUUAAUUUUGCUACUAUUUUAAAACCAUUUGAUUGUUGAGUUGCAACCGUGUUAGUGUUAUUUAAGUAUAAAUAUUUAUUUUUAAAAAUAUAUUUUUAAUUUGUUGAGAAACAUUUAUUUUAAUAUUUUGUGUAUUUGAUAAAUUAUAUUUUUUAAAAUUAUCUUUACAUAAAAAUAAUCUAAAGAAAUUAAUACGGGUAGGUCAGCCCGAGCUUAGAAAACGGGCCUAAAAUUUUGCACUGGCUCGACUCAUGAUCAAGUCUAUAUGAACUUUAAAUAAUCAACUCAUUUAAUUUAUCCAACCCAAUAUCAAGUUUUCAUUGCAAAAAUAUUAUUUAUAUAAUUAAUUAAAAUAAAUUUAAUUCAUUGAUUCAAUUAAAUUAUUUUCUCAACUAAAUUUUAAUUUUAUUAAAGUCAUGAUAAUUUUAUCGUACUAGAACCUAUAAUUAAAUAAAUUUUGAGUUAAGGCACGUGUCUUCACCUCUCAAGGUUAAGAAAACUUAAUGCAUCAUUUGACAAGAAAAAGAUGAAGAAGAUGCCAUGAAAGUGUAUGGAUUGUGAGAUUGAGGAAGAAGAGAGGAAAGUACACAAAGGGAGCUUUGGCAUCCUAGUAUUAAAUGACAAUGAGAAUAUGAGAUUUAACAAAGGCAACGACUGGAGGAGAUUAGCUAAUUAUCUGAGUCAAGAAAAUUGUCACUCUCACACUUUCCAGAAAUGACAGUCUUCUUGAUUUGUAUAUUUUACCCACAAUAGUCAAGGUCUUCCAAUGGGACAAUGUUGAGCAAAUGGUUAAAUUCUUAAAAGAGUCCUUGAAUAGUUUACUUUUGUUGUACCCAAAUAAACCCCUAUGUUUUUAUCUGUGUUUAAAUUAGCCCUUAUUUCAAAUGACAUGUUAAUUUUAAACUAAGUUGGUGACGAGGAGACUUAUAAUCACCAUUUAAUAUAUUUUAUUUUGUGUUUAUUGUUGUGCAAAGUUUAAUUAUUAUUGUUAAUUUUUAAAAACCAAGUUUAACUUAAAUCGUUUGUUAGUUAAAAGGAUAAUAAAUCUCGUAUUGCUUAAGAACAAAGCACAAAUUGGGAUUAUGAAUCUAUAUAAAAGCCCAUAUUUCACAUUAUUUAGAAAAACAAAGGCAAAAAGAUUUUGAGUUUAUAUAAAGAACCAUAUUUUACGCCUUAACUCUAUAUAUUAGCCUUCUGGUGAUGUGGACUUUGAUGAAGAAGAAGGCAUGAAAGAGUAUUAAAAGGGAGUUUUGACCAGCAAGAAAACUUGUUCCAAAUGACGAUGAUGAUAAUGAUGGGUGUUAAUUUCCAAGUCAAGGUCUUCCAAUGGGUUUUGACCAACAAGAAAACUUGUUCCAAAUGACGAUGAUGAUGAUGGGUGUGUUAAUUUCCAAGUCAAGGUCUUCCAAUGGGAGACUAAAACUUUUCUAGAUACAAGUUAAAAAUUAAAAUUAAUUUAUUUGGAUAACAAAUAAAGUUUAAAGGCUUGUGUGGGGUAUGAUGAAAGUACACAAGAUUAUUUAGAUAAUGUGAUAAAGGUUAAUGGCCUAAUUAAUAUGUUAGUAUGAGUAAAUCAUCUAUACGAAAAUAUAUAUUAGUUGAUUUCGUAACCAAACGUACAACUUCAAAAGCAAUUGUUACCAUUCAUGAAUUUUUUUUGGGGUUGUGAUGAAAUUUCUUACGAAUUUCCUACCACUUUCUUGAAGAAUAAUUUUCACUUUUUUUCCCUAAAUAAAAAGUCGUUGGAAGGAAGGGUGUUGUGUUUCUAUUUUCCUAGGUGAAAUAAUGAUAGAUUUUCUUUGUUAGUCCUUUCUAACAUAGGGAAGGCAAGUUUGGGUAAAAUGACUUCUUUAGUCUUUCUUAAUUUCAAAAUUGACUAAAUUGAUCCCUUUAAAAGAAGAAAAAUUUAAUCUUUGUUAAUUUUGAAAGUGAGCAACACAUAAAUUUUGAAAAUUGAAUAAGGACAUUUAACUACAUCGUUAAUGUCUUCUAUCAAAUUCACAUAAUUUUGAUAUUGAUAUCAAAUUCACAUAAUUUUGAUAUUGAUAUAACAAUAAAUUUAGCCCUUCAUGUUUGCAUUUUUGUCAAUUUGAUCUUGAUUCUAAAAAAUCAACAAAUUUAGCAUUAACAUUUACACAUUUACACAAAUGUAACAGUUUGAAUUUGUUAAAUCAAGACAAAUUAAACAUGAAUUCACCUAAACUGCUUAGCAACUGAUUUAGAGCUUAGAUCAAUAGGAGAUACCAUUGUUAUAGAAUAGUAAGUCUUUAAAGCAAAUAAAUAUUUGGAUUUGCCUACCCUUGAGAGCUUAUAUGUACUUUGAUCUCUUGUGUGAUAUUUAGUAAGUCUUUACAGUGUCUAAUUAUUUAGAUAUUUGAUGGGUUUCUAUUGCUCUGCAAGAAAAUGAAAACUUGAGCUUACCCAAUUAUCUAUCACGCACAUAUGUGCGUAUGUACCUUACAAACCCAUCAGAUUCUAUCUUUUGAAAAGCCUUUUAACUCUGCUGCCUAUCAUCAUAAUUUUACAAUCUAAUGAAAAUGAUUAAGUUUAAUACAAUGAAGUUUACAAUCAAGUGGAAUAUAUUUGAUUAAACAUCGUUUGAAGAUCAUAUAAAAUAAAGGAAACAAAGUGUAAACCUUAAAAUAAAGCCUCAAUGCCUUCAACUGCUAACUUGAGUCGGAGCUUCCAAGCAGCACGUAAAACAAAAAACAAUAAUACAACAUAAUGUAUAAUGUCAAUAAAUACAAUGACAUGAACAUCAAAAUCCGAUCCACCCUGUCCUUGGCUGAUAUGCCUUGGCAAGACAUUUACGAAAAUCAAUAUCUUUCACUUGAAGGAUCAAUUGAUUAGCUCGGAUACGUCCCCAAAAGUAUUCGAGGUUGAAUUGAUACACAAUGAAACUGUCAUGCUCUAGUUCGAAGCUUCAAGCACAUUAUAAUAGCUCGAAUCACAGCCACGUUUUAUGACUGCUGGAAUUCCGGCACCCCCUUAACAUCAUUCUCCCAAAACAGUGACUGUAAAUUCACAACGAACGAUCACCGUAUGCAGCAAAUGGUUAUAGAAAAUCGCAUCGUUUGUUUCAAGACACAAACACGACACUGCAACCGCAUAACAUGUUCAGCUAAGAUCAAACACCUAUAGAUUUGUGUAAAUAAUGCAAUAUAAAAUAAUCAGAGUAGUAUAAUUUGUGUUCUCUUGUAGUAAAAUCAUAGUUUAGGAUUAGAGAAAGUGACUGUAAAGACAAAGUUUCGAAGCUCAUAAAAAUGAAUGCAUGAACCAAAUGGAUUAAAUCCAAAUUAUAUGAAGAACAUAAGGUGAUAGAAUAGUUAAUGCUUAGUGACUAAAGUCCCUGAUUGCCAGCUCCAGUAUUCAUCCUUUCUAUCCAAAAAGAGAGUAAAAAUCUGGAAUUUUAAUCACAAAAAUCAAAUCAAAGUUCAAUCUCUGAUAAUCUAAAAUACAAAAAAAGGAAAAUUAAUUCAAAUUUCAGCCCAAACUGAUAUGAUAAUGAAGUCAAAUGGCUCUACCUUGAAACCAACUCAAACUAAACCCAAAUCAUUUGUUUUUAAAAAGCAGAUGGCCAUGAGGGUUGUAAAAGAUCACAAUGAAACAAAGGUAAUUAAGCUCACAAGGAAGGCUAAAUUGGCAAGAGCAUAUGGCUCCUCAAAAGCUCCAAUGUUGGUGCAAGAGGCAGCAAUAGGCUAUUUUGUAUCUUGCUUGAAUAGCAAGCCUCGAGCCUUGGUGAAGAAACAAACUCAGAAGCAGAAACAGAAAAUGAAACUAGCUAGUGAAUAACAGAAAAGAGAGAAGAAAAUUUGAAUGAAAAAUGAGCUGAUCUUUUUUCAUUAACACAUCAACAAGGCAUUAAGCCAUUACAUAUAUCAGUCAACAAGUAAAACAAACAAGUAAUCACCUAAUCAACUACCUAACUCCACUAAUUUGCAUUGAAACUUACAAGAUUAGCUUGUACAACUUGCAUUGCUGACUUUUCAGUCAAUCAAUAUCAAAACAUUUACCUACUUAGUUCAACAUGAACUAGAUUACAAAACAAUCAAAAUGGAACUAAAAACAGCAAGUGGAUUGGCAGCUUCAAACUUCAGUUGCUGCACACCAUGGCACCACUGCUUGCUGCUAUUUCUUCGAGCAUGACCACCUUUGUAUGUCGUGCAUGGCCACCUUUGCAUGGGAACUAAACUUAACACUCCUCCUUAGUUUCCAUGCUAGUAACACCUAAUUCCCUUUUGAAUUUAACAAAUUUAGACACAUUGAGUGCCUUUGUGAAGAUAUCAGCAAUUUGCACUUCUGAAUUGCAAUGAAUCAGCUCGAUUUCAUGAGCUUGUUCCAUCUCCCUUAUAACAUGCAACUUAAUAUUGAAGUGCUUGGUUCUGCCAUGAAAAAUGGGAUUUUUUGCAAUUGCAACAGUAGAUUUGUUGUCACAAUAAAUCUCUGUUGCCUCCUUUUGGUUUUGGUUUAAAUCAGCCAAGAUUUUUCUAAGCCAUAUGGCUUGAUUCACAGCAGAUGCAGCAGCAACAUAUUCAGCUUCUGCUGUUGAUUGUGCCACCAGACUUUGUUUCUUAGAACUCCAGCAAAACAUGCCUGAGCCAAGACUAAAUGCAUAUCCGGAUGUGCUCCUCAUGUCAUCACUCGAUCCAGCCCAGUCACUAUCAACAUAGCCUAUCAGCUUCAUGUUUUCAGCCCUUUUGAACAAUACACCAUGAUCAAUGGUGCCUUUGAUGUAUCUUAGCACUCUUUUAGCUGCUCGAAAGUGCUGAUCAUUGCAGCAAUUCAUGUAUCUCGAUAGCACACUAACAACAAACAUGAUAUCGGGCCUUGUUGCAGUCAAAUACAACAGACUACCAAUGAGACUCUUGUACAUGGUCUCGCAAAUUGGUUCACCACUCCCUUGCCUCGAAAGCUUCACUCCAACAGCCAUUGGUGUGCUUGUUGGCUUGCAGUUCUUCAUAGANNNNNNNNNNNNNNNNNNNNNNNNNNNNNNNNNNNNNNNNNNNNNNNNNNNNNNNNNNNNNNNNNNNNNNNNNNNNNNNNNNNNNNNNNNNNNNNNNNNNNNNNNNNNNNNNNNNNNNNNNNNNNNNNNNNNNNNNNNNNNNNNNNNNNNNNNNNNNNNNNNNNNNNNNNNNNNNNNNNNNNNNNNNNNNNNNNNNNNNNNNNNNNNNNNNNNNNNNNNNNNNNNNNNNNNNNNNNNNNNNNNNNNNNNNNNNNNNNNNNNNNNNNNNNNNNNNNNNNNNNNNNNNNNNNNNNNNNNNNNNNNNNNNNNNNNNNNNNNNNNNNNNNNNNNNNNNNNNNNNNNNNNNNNNNNNNNNNNNNNNNNNNNNNNNNNNNNNNNNNNNNNNNNNNNNNNNNNNNNNNNNNNNNNNNNNNNNNNNNNNNNNNNNNNNNNNNNNNNNNNNNNNNNNNNNNNNNNNNNNNNNNNNNNNNNNNNNNNNNNNNNNNNNNNNNNNNNNNNNNGGAGAGUAUUUGAUGAACAAAAAUGAUUCAUUAUGGAGAGUAUUUGAUGAACAAAAUGAUUCAUUCAUUUUUUGAAUAAUGGCAUAAUGCCAAUACAUAUAACCAAGCACUAAGCUUGUCAAAAAAUAGUAAGUAAUUACCUAAACAUUACUACCUCCACUAAUUACAUAGAAACUUGAAAUUUAAACUUGUAAAUUGGAACAAAGCUAUGUUUACAGCUCACACUCUAGCUAAGCACAUCAAUCAUAGACCUAACUUAGUUAGAAAUGAACUAAGAUAUAUUUCAUUAACUAAAGUUUAACAAAUGAACAAAAUAAGCUUGCAUCAGCAGCUCCUGCAUGGCUUGGUCUUCUUGCUUUUGAGUGUUUGCUGCAUGCUGACCAACUUCAUCACUCAUCCUUGGUUAGCAUGGUACAAACACCAAAUUUCCUUCUUAGACACUCGAACCUUGUGACAUUAAGGGCUUUAGUUAAAAUGUCUACAAGUUGAUCCUCUGAAUUGCAGUGAAUCAACAUCACCUCCUGUGCUUGCUCCAUUUCUCGAACAACAUGCAAACUUAAUGCUAAAAUGCUUUGUUCUUCCAUGGAACACUAGAUUUUUGGCAAUUGCAACAGCAGAUUGGUUGUCACAGAAAAUUUCUGUUGCUUCUCUUUGCUGAACAUUCAAGUCAAUCAAGAUUUUCCUUAGCUAAACGGCUUGGUUGACAGUACUUGCUGCUGCCACAUACUCUACUUCAACAGUAGAUUGAGCCACCAGGCUUUGCUUCUUCGAGCUCCAGCAGAACAUGGCUGAACCAAGGUUGAAAGCAUACCCUGAGGUGCUUUUCAGAUCAUAUAUCGAGCCAGCCCAGUCACUAUCAGUGUAGCCUACCAGCUUCAAAUUUCCUUCUUUGUUGUAUCUCAGACCAUAGCCCAAAGUACCCUUGAUAUACCUGAGCACUCUUCUUGCAGCCUGAAAAUGUUUCUCAUUGCAGCAAUGCAAGAAUCUUGAGAGCAAUCCUACAGCAUACAUUAUGUCUGGUCUAGUGGCAGUUAAGUAUAGCAAGCAACCAACUAGACUUCUGUAGGUAGUUUCACAAACCUUCUCAAAAUCACCUUGGCUUGAUAGCUUCUCUCCAACAGCAACAGGUGUCUUAGUUGCCUUGUUGUUUUGCAUGGAGAACUUAGUCAGAAUCUUUGUGGCAAAGCUUUUCUGACUUAGGAAUAUCCCAUUCUGAUUUUGUGACACCUCCAUUCCAAGAAAAUAGGACAUCUCUCCUAGAUCAGACAUUUCAAGCACCUCUUGCAGGUUGGUCUUGAAAUCGACCAGCAUUGUUUGAUCUUCUCCUGUCACCAGCAGGUCAUCAACAUACAGGGACAUAAUGAGCUGUGUUUGUGCCCCUUUCUUCUUAACAUACAAUGUUGGUUCACUCUUGCUUCGAUCGAAUCCCAAAUAAAUCAAGUAGCCAUCAAUUCUGCUAUACCAGGCCCUUGGAGCCUGUUUCAAGCCAUACAAGGCUUUCUUCAGCUUGUACACCAUCUGCACCUUCCCAGCUAUUUCAAACCCCAGUGGUUGCUCAACAUAGAUAUCUUCCUCAAGAAUUCCAUUGAGAAAGGCUGACUUUACAUUAAGUUGGAGAAUUUUCCACUGCAUUUGUGCAGCUAAGGCAAUCAACAACCUUAUGGUGUCAAGCCUGGCCACUGGUGCAAAGGUCUCCAGGUAGUCCAGGCCAUAUUUCUGACUGAACCCUUUGACAACCAACCUUGCUUUCAACUUGUUCAAGCUUCCAUCAGCAUUCAAGCUUGGCUUUGUACACCCAUUUCACUCCAAUAACCUUCCUUUUGACUGGUCUUUCAACCAAUUCCCAAGUCUGGUUCUUCUCAAUCAUGCUGAUCUCCUCAGCCAUUGCCUUCUUCCAUCCUUGCUGAGUUUCAGCCUCCUCAAAGCUACUUCGUUCAGCUAUGGCUACAUGAGCCCUUUCAUAAAUCUCAGCCAAUGGUCUUGUUCCCCUGACUGGUUCAUCACUAAUGUCCAUUUCAAGACCAUUUUGGUCUGGCUCAGCUUGAUCUGCUGCAAGUUCUUCUGAAACUUCCUCAGGUUCAUGUCUUUCCCAGUUCCAACAUAACCUUUCAUCAAAUACCACAUCCCUGCUGACUGACACUUUGUUUGUUAAAGGAUCCAAGAUCCUAUAGCCCUUCUUGACAGUGCUGUAGCCUACUAAAAUACCAGGUCGAGCCCUUUCAGACAACUUGUCCCCUUUAACAGUAGGUACAUGUGCAUAACAAAUGCAUCCAAAGACCUUCAGAUGAGCCAGUGAUGGUUUGAAUCCAAACCAGGCCUCGAAUGGAGUCUUUUGAGCCAAAGCCUUUGUUGGAAGCCUGUUUUGAAUGUAGGUUGUAGUGUUAACUGCCUCUGCCCAUAGAGCUUUAGGCAGAUUCUUCUGAAUCAUCAGGCACCUAGCCAUAUCCAUCAGGCUCCUAUUCUUUUUUUCACUUACUCCAUUUUGAUGGGGUGUAUAUAUGUUGGUAAGCUGAUGUUUAAUGCCUGUCUUAUCACAGAAGGCUUGGAACUAAGAUGAAGUGUACUCAAUCCCAUUAUCAGACCUUAUGGUCUUCAGCUUGCAACCUGUUUCAGUCUCAGCAGUAGUCUUAAACUUUAAAAACACAGAGGCCACCUCUGAUUUUUGUUUCAAGAAAUAAAGCCAGCAAUAUCUCGAGAAAUCAUCAAUGAACAGUAUAAAAUACCUGUUUCGACUAAAUGGCUCAGUCUUCAUGGGGCCACACAAAUCAAUAUGCACCAGUUGCAGUCUUUCAGAGGCUCUCCAGGCUUGAUUCGAGGGAAAUGAAAGUCUGGCCUGCUUGCCUAGCUGCCACACUUCACACACCUCCUGGUUUUGGACUGAAUUUAUGAAAUUUUCAUUGAAACCACUCCUGCACAUGUGCUCCAUUGAUUUGUAGUUGGCAUGACCAAGUCUUUGAUGCCGAAGCUUGGAUUCAUCUGUUGUAGCCAUGUAAGCAAUGUCUGAUUCCUUUGUCCAGUCAACCACAAAGCUUUUAUCAGCCAUAGGGACUGCCAUCAGCUUGGAUCCACUUGGAUCACUGAUUUGGCACUGAUUAUCCUUGAACACCACAGAAUACCCUUUCUCCAGCAAUUGAGCUAUGCUGAGCAGGUUUCUGUCGAUUUUAGGCACCAAAAGCACAUUUGAAAUAACUUUGGCACAUGUGGGAGUGCAUAUCAGCACAUCACCCUUGCCUUCAGCUUUUAUGAAGUGGCCAUUAUCAAUUUUAACUUUGGUUCUGUAGCUUCUCUCCAAUGACUUGAAUAUUGCAGCAUCAGGUGUCAUAUGGUUGGUGCAUCUACUGUCUAGGAGCCAAACAGUUGAGAGCCUUUUUUGUUCAGCUGAACAUGACACAGCAAAGACUUGCUCCUCUUGGUCACUAUCUUCCUUGGCUACUCGAGCCUCAGCUUUCAUCUGUUGAGACUGGUUCUGUCUUGGUUUGCCCUUACUUUUGUAGACCCUUUCAACAUGACCCUUCUUUUUGCAAUGUUGGUAUACAGCAUCUGGAUUGAACCAACAAUUUUUCUUCUGGAUGACUAGCCCUUUUGCAGUGCUUGCAAGUCUGACCUUCUUUUCUUGCAGCAUCAUACCUUGGCUUGUCUCUCCAAGCCUUCUUGCCUUUGUAGGCGGUAUUUAUUUUUGCCUGAAAGGCACCUUCUUGGUACUCCUCCAGUCUGCUUGCUCUCCUCUGCUCUUGAACAUAUAGAGCAUUGAUCAACUCUGUAAAAGGAAUGCUGGUCAGGUCCCUUGAGUCUUCGAGGGAUGAGAUUUUUGCCUCAUACCUCUCGGGCAAAGUUGAAAUAACCUUUUCCACUAUCCUAGCUUCAUUAAACUGCUAUCCAAUGAGCCUAAUGCUGUUAACUACAGCCAUAAUCCUGUCAGAGUAUUGCUUGACAGUCUCUUCUUCCUUCAUCUUCAAAUUCUCGAACUCCCUUAUCAAAUUCAACAACUGUUGCUGCCUUGUCCUCUCUGUCCCUUGAAACUCUUCUUUCAACUUGUCCCAGGCCUGUUUUGGUGAUUCACAAGCCAUAAUCCUUGUGAAAAUCACAUCAGACACUGAGUUCUGGAUGCAAGACAUGGCCUUGUGCCUCUUGGUCCUCUCAUCAGCAUGCUGCCUGAUCGGAGCCACUGUUGGAUUGGCUCUAAGUGGCUCUGGUUCAACAUCAGAGUUGACCACCUCCCAUAGAUCGAAAGCCUGUAGGUAGGUCUUCAUUUUGACCACCUAUAUGUGAUAGCCUUCUCCAUUGAAGACUUGUGGUGCAGUUGGUGAAAAGUUUGAUGAAGCCAUUCUUUGAAUACCAGGUCCCUUAAGAAAUAUGCUUUAGAUACCAAUUGUUGGUGUUAGAACAGAAUUAGACAGGCUCAGCUUGUGUCUUGUGCAAUAAGCCUCGAUGCUUGCUGAGCAAACAAACGAAUUCGAGCAGAAGAGAAGAAGAAAAACUAAGGAAAAAAUGGAGAGUAUUUGAUUAACAAAAAUGAUUCAUUCAUUUUUUGAAUAAUGGCAUAAUGCCAAUACAUAUAACCAAGCAUUAAGCUUGUCAAAAAACAGUAAGUAAUCACCUAAACAUUACCUACCUCCACUAAUUACAUAGAAACUUGAAAUUUAAACUUGUAAACUGGAACAAAGCUGUGUUUACAGCUCACACUCUAGCUAAGUACAUCAAUCAUAGACCUAACUUAGUUAGAAAUUAUCUAAGACAUAUUUUAUUAACUAAAGUUUACAAAAUGAAAAAAAUAAGCUUGCAUCAGCAGCUCCUGCAUGGCUUGGUCUUCUUGCUGUCAAGUGUUUGCUGCAUGCUGACCAACUUCAUCAAUACCCUUAUCAAGAGAGGCUAAAUAAUAAAUAAGUACUUCUUGUCCUUGAUGAUGUUAGUGACCCAGACCAAAUAGAUUUUAUGGGUGUCACAUAUUUUGGUCCUGAAAGUGAAAUUAUUAUAACAUCUAGAGAUAGACAAGUACUUAAAAAUGGAAAGCUAACCGCAUAUAUAAGGUAAAGGAGUUGAAUGAGAAUGAUUCUCUUCAACUUUUUUCUACAUUUGCAUUUAAGUUUUUAAAUCCUGCAGUUGAUUUUUGAGAUCUAUCAUGCAAGUUUGUAGAAUAUGCCUAAGGUAGUCCGCUUGCUCUUAAAGUUUUGGGUUCUGAACUAUAUACGAAGUCUAAAAAAGAGUGAGAGAGCAAGGUGAAUAAACUAAAGCAAUGUGCAGAAUUAAAAAUUUCACAUAUUUUGAAGAGUAGCUUAGAUGAGCUAGAUGAUGAAGAAAAUAAUAUAUUUCUUGACCUAGCAUGCAUCUUUAAAGGGCAAGCCAUGGGUUAUGUAGAAAAAGUUCUAAGUAAUUGUUAUAAGGGUGCAACAUGUGGAAUAAGUAAAUUGGUCGACAAGUGUCUACUUGAGAACAAAUAUGGAUGUGUUUUUAUGCAUGACAUGGUUGAAGAGAUGGGCAAGGACAUUGUUAUGCGAAAAUUUGAAUGCCCUAGAAAGCGAAGUAGAUUAUGGAGUUGUGAAGACAUGGAAUAAGUGUUCAAAUAUGAUAAAGUAAGUGUUAAUUGCAUUUAUUUUCUAUUCACUCUUUGGUAGGUUUAAUAGAUGUUGUUGUGUACCAUGUAUUAUCUUUUUUAAUUAUUAUUUCAAAAAAUAAAUUAUUUAUUUCUUACCAAAAACAUAAUGACCAAAUGUCUUACGAUACAAUAUGGAAUUUUGUUAAAAGUUUCUUGGGUUAGUUAAAUAUCUAAUGCAUUUUUAUGAGUGAUUUAAUGGAAUGUCGAUAAAUUUCUUUACGUUAAUCUAUGAUUUUUUUUUAUCAGGGGUCUGACUUUAUUAAAGGAAUAAAGUUAGAUGUAACUCAAACUGGUAACCUACAAUUUUGUGCUACCGAUUUUGGGAAGAUGCCUAAGCUUAGAUAUAUCAACAUCAGGUAUUUUGCACAUACUUUAUGGAAACCUCCACCCCAAUAUGCAAACCAAGUUGAUAGUAUAUGUCUUCUGGGUGAGUUAAGGCUUCUCCAUUGGGAUUAUUUUCCCUUCAAAACUUUAUCAAGUUUUAAUUCAAAGAAUCUUGUCAUAUUGAUAUUACGACGUGGUAAUAUAGAACAACUUUGGAAUGAAGAUGAUCAUAUGGUAUGUGCUUUCAUAUUUUCUUCGCCUAAAAUUUUUUUAAAGAAAAAAAGUAUUUAUAAUUUGAUGUAUCAAAUAAUAAUUUGAUGAUAUCUUAUUUAAAGAUUUUAAAUUUAUUUAAAUAAGUGACAUUAUUUGAUCAAGUAAUUGUGGCUUUUACGCCCAAUACAUCAAAUAUAAAAUUUUAUUUUUUAGUAUUAUAAUUAUUCAUUUCCUUUUCAUUUCGAUGAUGCUUAAAAGUAAUACAGUUAUUUUUUCUGUACAGGAUCUCGUCAAUUUUAAGGAAGAUACCUAAUCUUUCAGGAGCCAUCAACCUUGAACUCCUUGAUUGCUCUUUAUGUAAAAGUUUGGUUGAACUUCCAUGCCUCAAUCAUUUGGCGUCUCUUCAUCAUGAUAGGCUUUACCUUCAGGGAUGUUAUAGGCUCAAGAACUUUCCUCAGGUCCCAAGACACUUUUGUUCUUUGGGUUUAUUAAUAACUGAAUUAGAAGAAGUGCCUCAUUCAAUUGAGCAUCUCCACAAACUACAGAGAUUGUCGUUGAGCAAGUCAAAGGUAAUAAAAGUAUCGAUCAAUAUUUCGAAGUUGGAACUCCUUGGUGAAUUGGUUCUUAGUAAUUGCCCAAUGAUCAAAUUUCCAGAAAUCCCAAAAAGCUUAACAAAAUUAAACUUAUCUAGAACUCAAAUUGAAGAAGUAUCGUUGCCUUUCGACUCUCUAUGUAAUCUUCAGGACUUAAAUAUGAGCGGCUCAGCGGUCAAAAAUGUAUCAAUCAAGUUGGAAUCCCUUCAUAAACUGAAUCUUAGUGAUUGCCCGAUGAUCAAAUUUCCAGAAAUCCCAAGAAGCUUAAUAGAAUUAAAUUUAUCUGGCACUCAAAUUGAAGAAGUGUCCUUACCUUUUGACUCUCUAUGUAAUCUUCAGAUCUUAAAUAUGAGUGGCUCAGCAGUCAAAAAUAUAUCGAUCAGGUUGGAAUCCCUUCGUAAACUGGAUCUUAGUGGUUGCCCAGUGGUCCAAUUUCCAAACGUCCCAAGAAGCUUAACACAUUUAGAAUUAUCUCGCACUCAAAUUGAAGAAGUGUCAUUCCCUUUCGACCCUUUAUGUAAUCUCGAGUACUUAAAAGUGAGAGGCUCAACGGUCAAAAAUGUAUCAAUCAAGUUGGAAUCCAUUCGUCGACUGGAUAUUAGUGGUUGCCCAAUGGUCGAAUUUUUAAAAGUCCCGAGAGGCUUAAUAUGGCUAAAGUUAUCUAACACUCAAAUUGAAGAAGCGGCCAUGUCUAUAGACACUUUAAGUAAUCUUAAGGAGUUAAAGAUGAGCAGCUCAAGUAUUCCAAAGCUCCAAUGUAAUAUCUCCCUGUUCGAUUUAAGAGAGUUUCCCACUGUUGAUGUGCCCUCACCAAGCUUGAGGUCUAAAACCCUUAGGUAUAUGUGGAUGGACCGUUGCAAGAGCCUCAAAUUACUCUCAGAGCUUCCACCAUAUCUGCAAGGCUUGAGUGUACAUGACUGCACAUCAUUAGAAAAAGUAUCCUUUGCAGAUCAAAGUUUAUAUCAGUUUGAUUCUUUAGUUGAUGAUGACAAUUACAAUGUCUUUUGCAUGCUAUUCUGUAAUUGUUUCAACUUGAAUCAAGAGUCAACUAAUAACAUUGAGGCAAAAGCCCUGCUCAAAGUUGGAUCCCUAGCUAUGAAAUGGGCAGCAAGAUAUGGUAGGAAAAAACGGCGUGAUAACUGUCGAAGUUUGAUUUGUUGUUUCCCAGGAAACAACAUUUCAGGAAAUAAGUUCAAAUGUCAGAGCAUGAAUUCUUCCUUAAGUUUGAAGAUAGUUCCAAAUUGGGGUAGUGGGAGCAGAUUUUUGGUUUUUUCUAUCUGCAUUGUGGCUGAUCUCACUCACUGCCGUUCCAUUAGUUAUGUUGGAUGUAUUUGUGAGUACCAACUUACAGCCACCGAUGGUGGUUAUGAAAAGUUCGAAAGUGAGAUAUCUUUCUUGGGUGCUUCUAAGUCAAAGAGGUGCACGGGUGAUCACGUGUUUAUUCUAUCUAGCAUCAAAAUCGUUAAAAGAGACAAUAAUUAUGAGGAGGCAUCAUUUGAAUUCUACAUCAGAAAUAGGGAUUACGAAGAAGAAGAAGAAGCAGAAGCAGAAGCAGAAAAAAUUAUCAAGGUGGAGAGAUGUGGUGUUCGUGUAUUUUACGUGGAUGCAGAGAGGGAAACUAACGCUAUAGAAAUGGACCAAAAGAAGCUUUAGACAUGAUGGUGAAGAAGGGGAUGGAGGCCCUAAACGAUCGAAAUAGUUUUUAUUUCUUUUCAUCUUUGGCUCUGGUUUUCUAGAGUUGCAACUUCUCAAUUAUGUUAUCCAAAUGCAUAGGUAUGGUUUUCAUUUUCAUCUCAUUUUUUCAUAUUAUCAUACAAUUUUCAUUUUUUUUAUUUCAUUUUUCAUGUUGCCAUACUUUUAUUUUUCACAAUUGUUAAAACUAAAUUUUUAAUUUACUUAAUUAAAACAAACCAGAAUGAAGCUAACUUGCUCUACUUUAUAAAUUGCUAGUCAUUUAGAAGGUGCUUUACCAUUUUCGAGAAACUGAAAACUUGUAGUUCCACAUUGUAAAUGUUAAAAGCAUAGUUUAUGAACAUAAAAUGGAAAUUUGUUCUAUAGUUUGUGGUAGUUUCUUCUUAUUAUUUUUCUCAUAUCCAUUCCUCUGUUGUGUCUGUGUUCUUUUGUAGGUAUAGAAUAUAUUGUCUAAGAAGGAAAUUCUCCAUAUUAAUUGAUUUUGAGGAAAAUUGAAUGGCAACUGGAGAGAUUUCAAUACAGUAGCAAAAAGAUCCUGCUUUGGAGCUGAUAAAAUAUUCAUAAACAGCCCAAAUUAAUAGGAUCGUACUCAAAUAUAUAUGUAAUUAGCUCAUAAAAGUAUGUCAUUUUAGAGUAUUAUCAAUAGGGGUUAUUGGUAGGUGACCAAAUUUAGAUAUUAAGAUUCAUACUUAAAUUAUUCAGCCUCAUUGUUUAGUUGCUAACGUCAUUGUUGGUGUUAGAACAGAAUUAGACAAGUUCAGCUUGUGUCUUGUGCAACAAGCCUCGAUGCUUGCUGAGCAAACAAACGAAUUCGAGCAGAAGAGAAGAAGAAAAACUAAGGAAAAAAUGGAGAGUAUUUGAUGAACAAAAAUGAUUCAUUCAUUUUUUGAAUAAUGGCACAAUGCCAAUACAUAUAACCAAGCACUAAGCUUGUCAAAAAACAGUAAGUAAUCACCUAAACAUUACCUACCUCCACUAAUUACAUAGAAACUUGAAAUUUAAACUUGUAAACUGGAACAAAGCUGUGUUUACAGCUCACACUCUAGCUAAGUACAUCAAUCAUAGACCUAACUUAGUUAGAAAUGAACUAAGACAUAUUUUAUUAACUAAAGUUUACAAAAUGAACAAAAUAAGCUUGCAUCAGCAGCUCCUGCAUGGCUUGGUCUUCUUGCUGUCGAGUGUUUGCUGCAUGCUGACCAACUUCAUCACUCCUCAUUGGUUGCAAACACCUAAUUUCCUUCUUAGACACUCAAACCUUGUGACAUUAAGGGCUUUAGUUAAAAUGUCUGCAAGUUGAUCCUCUGAAUUGCAGUGAAUCAAUAUCACCUCCUGUGCUUGCUUCAUUUCUCGAACAACAAGCAACUUAAUGCUAAAAUGCUUUGUUCUUCCAUGGAACAGUAGAUUUUUGGCAAUUGCAACAGCAGAUUGAUUGUCACAGAAAAUUUCUGUUGCUUCUCUUUGCUGAAAAUUCAAGUCAAUCAAGAUUUUCCUUAGCUAAACGGCUUGGUUGACAGCACUUGCUGCUGCCACAUACUCUGCUUCAGCAGUAGAUUGAGCCACCAGGCUUUGCUUCUUCGAGCUCCAGCAGAACAUGGCUGAACCAAGGUUGAAAGCAUACCCUGAGGUGCUUUUCAGAUCAUAUAUCGAGCCAGCCCAGUCACUAUCAGUGUAGCCUACCAGCUUCAAAUUUCCUUCUUUGCUGUAUCUCAGACCAUAGCCCAAAGUACCCUUGAUAUACCUAAGCACUCUUUUUGCAGCCUGAAAAUGUUUCUCAUUGCAGCAAUGCAAGAAUCUUGAGAGCAAUCCUACAGCAUACAUUAUGUCUGGUCUAGUGGCAGUUAAGUAUAGCAAGAAACCAACUAGACUUCUGUAGGUAGUUUCACAAACCUUCUCAAAAUCACCUUGGCUUGAUAGCUUCUCUCCAAAAGCAACAGGUGUCUUAGUUGCCUUGCUGUUUUGCAUGGAGAACUUAGUCAGAAUCUUUGUGGCAAAGCUUUUCUGACUUAGGAAUAUCCCAUUCUGAUUUUGUGACACCUCCAUUCCAAGAAAAUAGGACAUCUCUCCUAGAUCAGACAUUUUAAACACCUCUUGCAUCUUGGUCUUGAAAUCGACCAGCAUUGUUUAAUCUCCUCUUGUCACUAGCAGGUUAUCAACAUACAGGGACACAAUGAGCUGUGUUUGUGCCCCUUCUUUCUUAACAUACAAUGUUGGUUCACUCUUACUUCGAUCGAAUCCCAAAUCAAUGAAGUAGCCAUCAAUUCUGUUAUACCAGGCCCUUGGGGCCUGUUUCAAGCCAUACAAGGCUUUCUUCAGCUUGUACACCAUCUGUACCUUCCCAGCUAUUUCAAACCCUUGUGGUUGCUCAACAUAGAUGUCUUCCUCAAGAAUUCCAUUGAGAAAGGCUGACUUUACAUCAAGCUGGUGAAUUUUCCACUACAUUUGUACAGCUAAGGCAAUCAACAGCCGUAUGGUGUCAAUCCUGGCCACUAGUGCAAAGGCCUCCAGGUAGUCCAGGCCAUAUUUCUGACUGAACCCUUUGACAACCAACCUUGCUUUCAACUUGUUCAAGCUUCCAUCAGCAUUCUGCUUGGCUUUGUACGCCCAUUUCACUCCAAUAACCUUCCUUUUGACUGGUCUUUCAACCAAUUCCCAAGUCUGGUUCUUCUCAAUCAUGUUGAUCUCCUCAGCCAUUGCCUUCUUCCAUCCUUGCUGAGUUUCAGCCUCCUCAAAUCUACUUCGUUCAGCUAUGGCUACAUGAGCCCUUUCAUAAAUCUCAGCCAAUGGUCUUGUUCCCCUGACUGGUUCAUCAUCGAUGUCCAUUUCAGGACCAUUUUGGUCUGGCUCAGCUUGAUCUGCUGCAAGUUCUUCUGAAACUUCAUCAGGUUCAUGUCUUUCCCAGUUCCAACAUGACCUUUCAUCAAAUACCACAUCCCUGCUGACUGACACUUUGUUUGUUGAAGGAUCCAAGAUCCUAUAGCCCUUCUUGACAGUGCUGUAGCCCACUAAAAUACCAGGUCGAGCCCUUUCAGACAACUUGUCCCUUUUAACAGCAGGUACAUGUGCAUAACAAAUGCAUCCAAAGACCUUUAGAUGAGCCAGUGAUGGUUUGAGUCCAAACCAGGCCUCGAAUGGAGUCUUCUGAGCCAAAGCCUUAGUUGGAAGCCUGUUUUGAAUGUAGGUUGCAGUGUUAACUGCCUCUGCCCAUAGAGCUUUAGGUAGAUUCUUCUGAAUCAUCAGGCACCUAGCCAUAUCCAUCAGGCUCCUAUUCUUUCUUUUACUUACUCUAUUUUGCUAGGGUGUAUAUGUGUUGCUAAGCUGAUGUUUGAUGCCUGCCUUAUCACAGAAGGCUUGGAAUUGAGCUGAGGUGUACUCAGUCCCAUUAUCAGACCUUAUGGUCUUCAGCUUGCAACCUGUUUCAGUCUCAGCAGCAGUCUUAAACUUCAAUAACACAAAGGCCACCUCUAAUUUCUGUUUCAAGAAAUAAAGCCAGCAAUAUCUCGAGAAAUCAUUAAUGAACAGUAUAAAAUACUUAUUUCCACUUAAUGACUCAGUCUUCAUGGGGCCACACACAUCAGUAUGCACCAAUUCCAGUCUUUCAGAGGCUCUCCAGGCUUGAUUCGAGGGAAAUAAAAGUCUGGCCUGCUUGCCUAGCUGACACACUUCACACACCUCUUGGUUUUAAACUGAAUUUAUGAAAUUUUCAACCAAACCACUCCUGGACAUGUGCUCCAUUGAUUUGUAGUUGGCAUGACCAAGUCUUUGAUGCCAAAGCUUGGAUUCAUCUAUUGUAGCCAUGUAGGCAGUGUCUGAUUCCUUUGUCUAGUCAACCACAAAGCUUUUAUCAGCCAUAGAGACUGCCAUCAGCUUGGAUCUACUUGGAUCACUGAUUUGGCUCUGAUUAUCGUUGAACACCACAGAAUACCCUUUCUCCAACAAUUGAGCUAUGCUGAGCAGGUUUCUAUCGAUUCUAGGCACCAAAAGCACAUUUGAAAUAACUUUGGCACCUGUGGGAGUGCAUAUCAGCACAUCACCCUUGCCUUCAGCUUUUAUGAAGUGGCCAUUACCAAUUUUAACUUUGGUUCUGCAGCUUCUGUCCAAUGACUUGAAGAUUGCAACAUCAGGUAUCAUAUGGUUGGUGCAUCUACUUUCUAGGAGCCAACCAGUUGAGAGCCUUUUUUGUGCAGCUGAACAUGACACAGCAAAGACUUGCUCCUCUUGGUCACUAUCUUCCUUGGCUACUCGAGCCUCAGCUUUUAUCUGUUGAGACUGGUUCUGUCUUGGUUUGCCAUUGCUUUUGCAGACCCUUUCAACAUGACCCUUCUUUUUGCAAUGUUGGCAUACAGCAUCUGGAUUGAACCAGCAGUUUUCUUUUAGAUGAUCAGGCCUUUUGCAGUGCUUGCAAGUCUGACCUUCUUUUCUUGCAGCAUCAUACCUUGGCUUGUCUCUCCUGGCCUUCUUGCCUUUGUAGGCAGUAUUUGUUUUUGCCUGAAAGGCACCUUCUUGGUGCUCCUCCAGUCUGCUUGCUCUCCUCUGCUCUUGAGCAUAUAGAGCAUUGAUCAACUCUGUAAAAAGAAUGUUGGUCAGGUCCCUUGAGUCUUCGAGGGAUGAGAUUUUUGCCUCAUACCUCUCGGGCAAAGUUGAAAUAACCUUUUCCACUAUCCUAGCUUCAUUAAACUGCUCUCUAAGGAGCCUAAUGCUGUUAACUACAGCCAUAAUCCUGCCAGAGUAUUGCUUGACAGUCUCUUCUUCCUUCAUCUUCAAAUUCUCGAACUCCCUUAUCAAAUUCAACAACUGUUGCUGCCUUGUCCUCUUUGUCCCUUGAAACUCUUCUUUCAACUUGUCCCAGGCCUGCUUUGGUGAUUCACAAGUCAUAAUCCUUGUGAAAAUCACAUCAGACACUGAGUUCUGGAUGCAAGACAUGGCCUUUUGCCUCUUGGUCCUCUUAUCAGUAUGCUGCCUGAUCUGAGCCACUGUUGGAUUGGCUCUAAGUGGCUCUGGUUCAACAUCAGAGUUGACCACCUCCCACAGAUCGAAAGCCUGUAGGUAAGUCUUCAUUUUGACCACCCAUAUGUGAUAGCCUUCUCCAUUGAAGACUUGUGGUGCAGCUGGUGAAAAGUUUGAUGAAGCCAUUCUUUGAAUACCAGGUCCCUUAAGAAAUAUGCUCUAGAUACCAAUUGUUGGUGUUAGAACAGAAUCAGACAAGCUCAGCUUGUGUCUUGUGCAACAAGCCUCGAUGCUUGCUGAGCAAACAAACGAAUUUGAGCAGAAGAGAAGAAGAAAAACUAAGGAAAAAAUGGAGAGUAUUUGAUGAACAAAAAUGAUUCAUUCAUUUUUUUGAAUAAUGGCAUAAUGCCAAUACAUAUAACCAAGCACUAAGCUUGUCAAAAAACAGUAAGUAAUCACCUAAACAGUACCUACCUCCACUAAUUACAUAGAAACUUGAAAUUUAAACUUGUAAACUGGAACAAAGUUGUGUUUACAGCUCACACUCUAGCUAAGUACAUCAAUCAUAGACCUAACUUAGUUAGAAAUGAACUAAGACAUAUUUCAUUAACUAAAGUUUACAAAAUGAACAAAAUAAGCUUGCAUCAGCAGCUCCUGCAUGGCUUGGUCUUCUUGCUGUCGAGUGUUUGCUGCAUACUGACCAACUUCAUCAGGUGCUCACAUUACAUGAUUUCAUGUUAAUUAGAAAGAUUGGUUUCUCUUAUAACCUAUGCUUUUAUGUUGAUUUAGGAGUAGGUGUUUCCUAUUUGUUGUGAGAUUCGAUACUCAACAGAACUUGCAGAUUAUGGAUGGUUCUGAUAUCCUCUUUCUCACCAACAAAACAAGUUCCCAUGAAAUUUCUGGUAUUAAAGUCAAGUUUGUGACCAAUGCAAAAUAUUUUUAGCCAAUAAUGAGUUGGAGUUUUAGCCAUAUAAGGAGGAACACCUAAGCUGUAAGAGCUUCAAUUUCUUUUACUUGAUGCUUAUUUUAUUUAUGUGUUUGAACUGAUAUUUUGAGACAAUGCAAGUUGUCAACAGAUUUGCCUUAUUGGUCUAUUCAUAUGAUGGUUCAACGCAAAAUUGAAGGAAUCUUUUGAAUACCUUUUCUGGGCUCUGGCAAUUCAGUCUUGGUGGAGAAGUAAGUUACCUUUGACUUAUUAUUAUGAUUUUAGGUUCAUCUAAUGCUUAUUUUUUCUAGAUUUAUCAAAGAAAUUCCGAGAGUUGCUCGUAUCUCAAAUCUUGUGGUAUGAACACAUGGAGCUGGAGGCAAGCGUUUGACGGCCAUCAUUCUCAAGUUGGAUUGGUGAGCUUAUGUUUAUCCCAUUGAGGAACCCAAGAAGAUACUGGAAAUAUAUUAAAUGAUUUGAGUUUAGUUUGAAGUGAAGAGCUGGUUCCAUGGUAGAGCCAUUGGAAUUGAUAUUUUCUUAUCUUGGAUUUUGAUUAUCAGAUCAGUUGGGGCUGAAGUCUCUUUGUAUGUUAUUGCCUUUCAAGUUGUUUAAGCAGCAUUGUGGCGAGGAGAUAUUAAGAUUCAUGCUUUAUUCUUUUCAGCAGUUGACUCCAUAGGAUCAAUGGAGGACUUCAUUCAGCUUCAUUAAAAAGUAGAUAAUUAAUCAUCUGGUAUCUCAAUAAACUCAUUGCAUUUUCCUUCAAUGAUAUCUUGAUUCGUUGAUUUAUGAUUCAUGUCUAUUUAUACUGGAAUUGCAGUCGCAGAUUAAGGUUGGGUUUGAUAUGAUAUCUUCUUUCUUACCAACAAAUACAAGUUCCACUAAAUUUCUAGUGUUAAUGUAAGGUUGUGCCCUAUGCCUAAUCUUUUUUUAUCUCACUUUAUAGAUGUGCUUUUUACUUGCAGAGUUUAAAGCAAUGUAGUAUAAGUGUUGAAGCUGGCCAGCAUGCUGCCAUGAUGCAACAGGAAUAGCCCAAGCCACGCAGUUGUUGCUGAAGAUCAAGCUACUGUUUUGUUUUGUUUUGUUUCUUAAAGUGAUGUUUUGUAACUUAGUUGAAAUCAAACUAAGUUGUACUUGCUGAUUAGGUGCUGAUAAGUUGAUAAAUCAGUUUACCUAUGUGUACAAGUCAUGUUUUGUAAGUUACAAUGCAAUUAGUGGGGUUAGAUAGUGUUUAGGUGUUGAUUUGCUUGUGCUGACCAGUUCAUGUCUUGUAUUUGUAUUGGCUUUAAGCUAUUGUUCAUUUUAAUGAAAAAUUAUCAAGCAAUUGUUUAUCAUAUACUCUCUCAAUUUUAGUUUCAUUCUGGUGCUCCAAAGCCAAAUUCUGUCAUUGAUUGUUCUGCAAGUCCCGAGCCUUAUUGCUCAAGAAACUGUUCAGCCAAAACCUAGAGAUUAAGCUUUGACUUUUUAAAUAUGCUACAGUGAAGGGAAUGAAGAUGUCAGUGAUUGGUUUAAGAAAAGCAGAUGAGGAAACAGAGUCAAGACGACAUUAAUGGCAGAUGAGUAAGCUUCUAAUUUCUUCUAUUGAGUUAUUGCCAUAUAUUUGUGGUUGAACUGAGACGUCGAGGCUGUGUUACAAUUUGUUAACAGAUUGUCCUAGUUGAUAUCAUUCAACUUUGCUUCAAUGCUUUCUGGUUGUUGGAGCUUUGGAGGAGCCAUAUGCUCUUGCCAAUUUAGCCUUCCCGGUGAGCUUAAUUACCUUUCUUUCAUUGUCAUCUUUUACAACCCUCAUGGCCAUCUGAUCUUUUAAACACAAAUGAUUUGGGUUUAGUUUGAGUUGGUUUCAAGGUAGAGCCAUUUGACUUCAUUAUCAUAUCAGUUUGGGAUGAAAUUUGAAUUAAUUUUCCGUUUUUUUGUAUUUGAGAUUAUCAGAGAUUGAACUUUGAUUUGAUUUUUGUGAUUAAAAUUCCGGAGUUUUACUAUCUUUUUGGAUAGAAAGGAUGAAUACUGUAAUUGGCAAUCAGGGACUUUAGUCACUAAGCAUUAACUAUUCUAUCACCUUAUGUUCUUCAUAUAAUUUGGAUUUAAUCCAUUUGGUUCAUGCAUUCAUUUUUAUGAGCUUCGAAACUUUUGUCUUUACAGUCACUUUCUCUAAUCCUAAACUAUGAUUUUACUACAAGAGAAAACACAAAUUAUACUACUCUGAUUAUUUUAUAUUGCAUUAUUUACACAAAUCUAUAGGUGUUGAUCUUAGCUGAACAUGUUAUGCGGUUGCAGUGUGGUGUUUGUGUCUUGAAACAAACGAUGCGAUUUUCCAUAACUAUUUGCUGCAUAUGGUGAUUCUUCGUUGUGAAUUUACAGUCACUGUUUUGGGAGAAUGAUGUUAAGGGGGUGCCGGAAUUCCAGCAGUCGUAAAACGUUGUGAAUUUACAGUCACUUUUGGGGACGUAUCCGAGUUAAUCAAUUGAUCCUUCAGGUGAAAGAUAUUGAUUUUCGUAGAUGUCUUGCCAAGGCAUAUCAGCCAAGGACGGCGUGGAUCGAAUUUUAAUGUUCAUGGCAUUGUAUUUAUUGACAUUACAUUAUGUUGCAUUGUUGUUUUUUGUUUUACGUGUUGCUUGGAAGCUCCGACUCAAGUUAGCAGUUGAAGCCAUUGAGGCUUUAUUUUAAGGUUUACACUUUGUUUCCUUUAUUUUAUAUGAUCUUCAAACGAUGUUUAAUCAAAUAUAUUCCACUUGAUUGUAAACUUCAUUGUAUUAAACUUAAUCAUUUCCAUUAGAUUGUAAAAUUAGGCAAUCUUAUGAUGAUAGGCAGCAGAGUUAAAAGGCUUUUCAAAAGAUAGAAUCUGAUGGGUUUGUAAGGUCCGUACGCACAUUGAGUGAUAGAUAAUUGGGUAAGCUUAAGUUUUCAUUUUCUUGCAGAGCAAUAGAAACCCAUCAAAUAUCUAAAUAAUUAGACACUGUAAAGACUUACUAAAUAUCACACAAGGGAUCAAAGUAUAUAUAAGCUCUCAAGUGUAGGCAAAUCCAAAUAUUUAUUUGCUUUUAAGACUUACUAAUCUAUAACAAUGGUAUCUCCUAUUGAUCUUGAUUACAUCAAGCUCUAAAUCAGUUGCUAAGCAGUUUAGGUGAAUUCAUGUUUAAUUUGUCUUGAUUUAACAAAUUCAGACUGCUACAUUUGUGUAAAUAUGUAAAUGUUAAUGCUAAAUUUGUUGAUUUUUUAGAAUUAAGAUCAAAUUUACAAAAAUGUAAACAUUGAGGGCUAAAUUUAUUGUUAUACCAAUCAAAAUUAUGUGAAUUUGAUAGAAGACAUUAACUAUCGAUGUAGUUAAAUGUCCUUAUUCAAUUUUCAAAAAUUAUUUGUUGCUCACUUUCAAAAUUAACAAAGAUUAAAUUUCUCUUCUUUUAAAGGGAUCAAUUUAGUCAAUUUUGAAAUUAAGAAAGACUAAAGAAGUCAUUUUACCCAAACUUGCCUUCCCUAUGUUAGAAAGGACUAACAAAGAAAAUCUAUCAUUAUUUCACCUUGGAAAAUAGAAACACAACGCCCUUCCUUCCAAAGACUUUUUAUUUAGGGGAAAAAAGUGAAAAUUAUUCUUCAAGAAAGUGGUAGGAAAUUUAAGUUCAAUUCACUUAAAAUUGUCUAAAAAAGGCAAUUAUUCUUAAGAAAGUUUUACAAAAUUUCAGUUCAAUUGACCCAAAUGCAAAAAUGUGUUAGCCAAAAUGAAAUUCAUGAAUGGUGACAAAUUUUUUUGAAGUUAUACGUUUGGUUACGAAAUCAACUAAUAUAUAUUUUCGUAUAGAUGAUUUACUCAUAGUAACAUAUUAAAUAGGCCCUUAACCUUUAUCACAUUAUCUAAAUAAUCUUGUGUACUUUUAUCAUACCCCACAUAAGCCUUUAAACUUUAUUUGUUAUCCAAAUAACUUUUAAUUUUUAAUUUGUAUCUAGAAAAGUUUUAAUCUUAACAAUUUUGUCCCAUUGGAAGACCUUGACUUGGAAUUAACACCCAUCAUCAUCAUCAUCAUGGUCAUUUGGAACAAGUUUUCUUGUUGGUCAAAACUCCCUUUCUUCUUCUUCAUCAAAGCCCACAACACCAGAAGGCUAAUACAUAGACCUUGACUUGGAAAUUAACACCCAUCAUCAUCGUCGUCGUUUGGAACAAGUUUUCUUGUUGGUCAAAACUCCCUUUUAAUACUCUUUCAUGCCUUCUUCUUCAUCAAAGCCCACAUCACCAGAAGGCUAAUACAUAGACCUUGACUUGGAAAUUAACACCCAUCAUCAUCGUCGUCGUUUGGAACAAGUUUUCUUGUUGGUCAGAACUCCCUUUUAAUACUCUUUCAUGCCUUCUUCUUCAUCAAAGCCCACAUCACCAGAAGGCUAAUACAUAGACCUUGACUUGGAAAUUAACACCCAUCAUCAUCGUCGUCGUUUGGAACAAGUUUUCUUGUUGGUCAAAACUCCCUUUUAAUACUCUUUCAUGCCUUCUUCUUCAUCAAAGCCCACAUCACCAAAAGGCUAAUACAUAGACCUUGACUUGGAAAUUAACACCCAUCAUCAUCGUCGUCGUUUGGAACAAGUUUUCUUGUUGGUCAAAACUCCCUUUUAAUACUCUUUCAUGCCUUCUUCUUCAUCAAAGUCCACAUCACCAGAAGGCUAAUACAUAGACUUAAGGCUUAAAAUAUGGUUCUUUAUAUAAACUCAAAAUCUUUUUGCCUUUGUUUUUCUAAAUAAUGUGAAAUAUGGGCUUUUAUAUAGAUUCAUAAUCCCUUUGUGCUUUGUUCUUAAGCAAUACGAGAUUUAUUAUCCUUUUAACUAACAAAAGAUUUAAGUUAAACUUGGUUUUUAAAAAUUAACAAUAAUAGUUAAACUAUGCACAACAAUAAACACAAAUAAAAUAUAUUAAAUGGUGAUUAUAAGUUGAUGUUGAAAUUCAACACUCCCCUCAUCACCAACUUAUUUUAAAAUUAACGUGUCAUUUGAAAUAAGGGCUAAUUUAAACACAGAUAAAAACAUAGGGGUUUAUUUGGGUACAACAAAAGUAAACUAGUUCAAGGACUCUUUUAACAAUUUAACCAUUUGCUGAACAUUGUCCCAUUGGAAGACCUUGACUUUUGUGGGUAAAAUAUACAAAUAAAGAAGACUGUCAUUUCCUGGAAAGUGUGAAAGUGACAAUUUUCUUGACUCAGAUAAUUAGCUAAUCUCCUCCACUCGUUGCCUUUGUUAAAUCUCAUUUUCUCAUUGUCAUUUAAUUCUAGAAUACCAAAGCUCCCUUUGUGUACUUUCCUCUCUCCUUCCCAUCUUCUUCUGGUCAAAUGAUGCGUUAAGUUUUCUUAACCUUUGAGGUGAAGACACAUGCCUUAACUCAAAAUUUAUUUUCUCAUAGGUUCUAGUAUGAUAAAAUUAUCGUGACUUUAAUAAAAUUAGAAUUUAGUUGAGAAAAUAAUUUAAUUGAAUGAAUGAAUUAAAUUUAUUUUAAUUAAUUAUAUAAAUAAUAUUUUUACAAUGAAAACUUGAUAUUGGGUUGGAUAAUUAAAUGAGUUGAUUUAAGUUUAUAUAGACUUGAUCAUGGGUCGAGCCGGUGCAAAAUUUUAGGCCCAUUUUCUAAGCCCGGCCUGACCUACCCGUAUUAAUUUCUUUAGAUUGUUUUUAUGUAAAGAUAAAUUUAAAAAAUAUAAUACAUCAAAUACACUAAAAAUAUUAAAAUAAAUGUUUCUCAAUAAAUUAAAAAUAUAUUUUUAAAAUAAAUAUUUAUACUUAAAUAAUACUAAUACAGUUGCAACUCAACAAUCAAAUGUUUUUAAAUAGUAGCAAAAUUAACAAUAAAACAAAAAAUUCAAUAUCCAAACAAUAACAAUAAAAUAUUAACAAUACGAUAAUAAAAUUGUAACGAAACAACAAUAUAACAGCAGCAAACAACAACAGAAAAGAAAUAGUCAAAUUCGAGCUGGGUCAAAAUAUCUAGCCCAAGACCCGAGCUAUUUAGGAAAUGUGCCAAUAUUGGUAAGUUGAAUAAUAUUUUACUCAACAUUUACGUUCUAACACAUAAACUAUUAUUUUCCAGCUUUUAAAUUAAUUGCCAAUGAUAGAAAUAUGAAGUGCUUUAAUUAAUUAAAACCAACCAGAAUCACAUGCUCUACAAAUAGCUUGUGAUUUAUUCUUUGGUGCAUUAUCAACUUACCUUUUUCCUUAUGCAUUUUACAAGCUAUAUGUACGGUUGUGAUGCGCAACUUUUGUGGAACUUCCAUGAAAAUUCAGCCCAGGGGUGGUAGCUGCUUUGAUUUAUCCAAAUUCCUACAUAUGUAGCUUCGAGGAAGCAAAGAAGGUUUAUUAGUCAUUUUGAAAUUGGUGUCAAAAGCAAAAGCAACCCUUUUUUUUUCCUCAGCCAAUAAAAAUAUUUUAUUAAUAAGUCUUUAUCACCUCACCAAAAAAAAAGUGAGUUUCCAUGCUUUGGUGCAUUAUCAACUUUUACUUGUCCUUAUGCAUUUUGGAACAAUAUGUAUGACUGUAAUAUGCAGAUUUUCUUUGUAAAUUCAGCGAAAAAACAAAAGAAAAAAGGCGAAGAUUCUUGACAUCUUUGUAGCAUAUUUUUUUUGCAAUCAAUGAAUUAAAAUAAGACAAUUUUUAAUCUCACUCGUGGCAUUAAAAUAAAAGCUCCACUACAAAUGCUGGUGUACGACCUAUUUUUCACAUUUAUUAAAAGAGGAUUACAUUUUUAAUUUGAUUCUAAAUAGGGCCUUAUUUUAUAUUAUUAUAAUAGUCCAAACUAAUUUGGGCAUCAAUAUUUUGUGCUUUGAAAUUUACUUAAUAUCCAUCAACUAGAUUUGGUUACAAAAUCAACUUGUAACUUUUUUUUUCCUAUAGAUGAUUUGCUUAGACUAAUAUACUAAAUAAGUCAUAAGCUUUAUUCAAUUAAGCUCUUAAAAUUUUAUGGGUAAAUUAUCUCGUUAGUUAUUUUAAAUAAGGGUCAUUCCUAUUUUGGUUGCUCUAAUAUUUUUGUUAAUUUGGUAAUCCAAAAGGGAAAUUGAUCACUCUUCUGUAAAACGAUAAUGGAAUAUUGAUUGUGUAUUUCCAUAUUAGUCAUGCUGAAAUUUUUAUGAUGGAAGCAAUUUUUGUUUUAAAAAUUCACGUCAGUAUUUCAAUUGGAAUAAUUAAUAGUAAUAUUUACUUGGAUUAAUUGAUGAUAUUAUUGUAGUAAAGGAUCAAAUUAUUCCAUUUUAAAGUAUAAAAAUAAAAAUAUAAAUUUAGGAAUAAUAAUAGGACCAAAACAAAAUUUUAAUUGUAAGGACUAAAUUAUAAAAUCUAGAAAUUUUAGAAAAGGGACUGUUUUGUAAAAUUGUACAAAAAGAGGUUUAGAACUGAACUGCAGAAUAAUAAAAUCUAUUUUUGAGGAAUUAAAUUGCAGAAUAGUAGAAUUUUAGAUUCCAGGGACUAAUUCGUAAAAAUAUAAAAUUGAAAUAUGAGGGACUAUUUUCUUCGACAGUGAAGAGACCUUUCCUUUUGUUGCUCUAAAAGCUUCUCCUUUUUGUUUCUUCGACAGUGAAGAUAGUCAAUAUAGUCUUAUUAGUUUGGAAAAUGUCUUAUGGAAAAAAAAAUUGGUAAGAUAUUUUCCUUGAAAAUGUCUUGAUUUUACAUUUUUUUUCAAGAAUGAUUUCCUUUAGUAAUUCAUUUUCCACCAAAUAUAGACGGUAAAACAAUGAAAAUAUUUUACAUACAAACAAAUAGACCAUUAAUUAGAAAAUCGAUUCGAUUCUAUAUUUAAAAUAAAUGUUGGCAAGCAUAUUUGUUGGUAAAAAAUCUAUUAGACUCUCUGAUCAAUUUUGGCAUUAAGCAAAUUGGAGUCGCUUAAAAAAAUCGAAGCAAUUUAAAUCCCAUCAGUUUCUACAGUGAGUAAUUAAGGAUAAUUAAUCACAACAUUGAUGUUUUCCAUCAAAUGUAAAUAAUUUUAAUUGGUAUAAUAACAAAUUUACCCCUCAAAGUUUACAAUUAUAUCACUUGUCUUGAUUUAACAAAUUUAGCCAGCAAUAUUUGUGUAAAUGUUUAUACUAAACUUGUUGAAUUUUCAGAAUUAAGACCAAAUUGACAAAAAUGCAAACAUGGCUAAAUUUUUUGUUAUAUCAAUCAAAAUUAUGUACAAUUGACGAAAAAUAUUAAUGUCGUGAAUAAUUGUUCUUUGUUGCUCACUUUUGAAAUUAAGAAUGAUUAAAUUGCUUUGAUUUUUUUGAGAGGGACUAAUUUAUUCAAUUUCAAAAUUGAUAGAGAUUGGAGAUAUAUUUUUACGCAAACACACCUUACCUUUGUUCAGAAGAAAGGACUAAACAGGAAACCCCCAAAAGCACAAAGAAAAUCUAUCAUGGUUUCACCUAAGAAAAAUAGAAAUACAACAUCCUUCCUUCCAAAGACUUUUCAUUUAGGGGAAAAAAGUGGCGAUUAUUCUUGAGAAAGUUGUAGGAAAUUUAAGUUGAAUUCACCUAAAAUUGUCCAAUUAUUCUUAAGAAAGUUAUACCAAAUUUCAGUUCAAUCGACCCAAAUGACAAAGUGUGUAAAAGUCAAUAUUUUUUGUUAGAAAAUUUAUAAGAAAUUUUAUCACAACCCAAAACGAAAUUCAAGAAUGGUGACAAAUUUUUUUUUUGAAGUUAUACGUUUGAUUACAAAAUCAAUUAAUAUUUACUUUUUGUAGAGAUGAUUUAUCGCAUUAUUUAAAUAAUCUCUUGUACUUUUAUCAUACCCCAAAUAAGCCUUUAAAGUCUAAAUAACCCUCAAGUUUUUUACCUGUAUCUAGAUAAGUUUUAGCAUUCAAUUUAUAGGAAAAUAUUUAGUAUAUUGAUAAUAGAGGUUUUAGACUUCACAACUUGACAAAUUUUUAUCAGUAAAAACUCAUCGGCUAUGCUUCACCCUUUCAAUCUCAUUCCCAUUUAACUGACUCACUUUUUCUUCUUACCAUUACAAAAAUAGAAGCAAAAGCAAAGCUCCCUCAGUUUAUUUUGUUCUCUUUUCCUCAAUCUCACAAUCCACUAUCUGUUUUGCCCUUUGCUCGAUUUCGUAAUCUUCUUCGGGUUUUGCCUAUCGAGAAGAUGAGUGAAUGUUAGAGUAUAGAUAAAGACUCUAUUAGUUUAUUAGUUGUUAGUCUGUUAUACAAGCAGUUAUGCUGUUAACUGAAAUUGUUAGUAGCAAUUACUCAUACACAUAUUAUCAAUACUAUUGUUAUACUGGUUAAAUUCAAGAUAAUAAUACAAAAAUCAUUCUCUGCAUAUUCUAUUUUUCUUUCAACUUAAUGUAGAUAUUAACAUAAAGCAAGGUUGUGCCGUAUGCCUACUUUUUUAUUGUCUUACAUUAUAGAUGUGCUUUUUACUUGCAGAGUUUAAAGCAAGGUAGUAUAAGUCAGCCAAAACCUGGGGAUUAAGCUUUGACUUUUUAAAUAUGCUACUAUGAAGGGAAUGAAGAUGGCAGUGAUCGGUGUAAGAAAAACAGAUGAGGAAACAGAGAGUCAAGAGGGAAUUAAUGGCAGAUCUUUGGAAAGGCCAUUAUGCUUGGAAUUUUAGCUAUUCAAAAAGAGAGGGAAUGAAGAUGGCAGUGAUCGGCGUAAGAAAAACAGAUGAGGAAAUAGAAAGUCAAGAGGGAAUUAAUGGCAGAUCUUUGGAAAGGCCAUUAUGCUUGGAAUUUUAGCUAUACAAAAAAGAGAGGAAUAAGUAAGCUUCUAAUUUCUUCUACUGAAUUAUUGUCAUAUAUUUGUGGUUAAGCUGAGAUAUUGAGGCUUUAUUGCAACCUGUUAACAGAUUUGGCUUGUUGAUAUCAUUCAACUCUGAUAAUUUUAUAUUGCAUUAUUUACAGAAAUCUGUAGGUGUUUAGCUUAGCUGAACAUGUUAUGCGGCUGCAAUGUGGUGUUUGUGUCUUGAAACAAGCGAUGCGAUUUUCUAUAGCCAUUUGCUGCGUACAGUAAGUCUUCGUUGUGAAUUUACAGUCACUGUUUUGGGAGAAUGAUGUUAAGGGGGUGCUGGAACUCCAGCAAUCGUAAAACGUGGCUGUGAUUCGAGCUAUUAUACUGUGCUUGAAGCUUCGAACUAGAGCAUGACAGUUUCAUUGCGUAUCAAUUCAACCUCAGAUUCUUUGGGGGACGUAUCCGAGCUAAUUAAUUGGUCCAUCAAGUGAAAGAUAUCGAUUUUUGAAAAUGUCUUGCUAAGGCAGCGGCCAAGGAUGGGGUGGAUUGGAUUUUAAUGUUUAUGGAAUGGUAUUUAUUGGCAUUAUACAUUAUGUUGUACUGUUGUUUUUUGUUUACUGUGUUGCUUGUAAGCUGUAACUUUUACACUUGGUUUCCUUUAUUUUAUAUGAUCUUCAAACGAUGUUUAAUCAAAAAUUUUCCACUUGAUUGUAGACUUCAUUGUGUGAAACUUAAUCAAUUUCAUUAGAUUGUAAAAUUAGGUAGUCUUAAGAGUAUAUUGUAAUUUGAUAUUGCUAAUUUUACAUAAAGGUCCAUGGAUAAAUUAUACAUUGCGAAUUCUACAAAUGUUU